Molecule: long non-coding RNA, 58266 nt
Filed under: Gossypium barbadense (sea-island cotton)
Lineage: Eukaryota; Viridiplantae; Streptophyta; Magnoliopsida; Malvales; Malvaceae
Description: long non-coding RNA (GBAR_LNC002182)
Source: RNAcentral
UCUAGAACAUUAAAACCCAUAGAAAUUCCUAAUCUUGUGGAUUGAUAUCCUGCAUGUGCCUCCGCCGUAAAUGGAGAGGGGACACCGGAGUGAAGAACUUACUUGGAUGCCAAGACUUUUCCCCCCAUAUCUCUUACUAUCAGCCUCGACGUAGAUCUAGAAGACUGUUGGUUAAACGCCGCAUCAAAAUAAAUAGCCACAGUUGCUCUCUGGUCAUCUUGUUUAGGUCCCUUGUCUGCUUCCAAGGUUAGAAUUUUAUCCUCUAUUCCUUUUAACUCAGAGAUAUAACUGAGAAUUUGAUUAUAGAUAUCCCAGCUUGUUGUGUUUUUUCUUUUGUAGAUUAACUUGUUUCUGCUUGUCCAGAUUAUCCAAAGUCUGCAACAAAAGAGACAACACUGCUCGACGGUCCCUUGACUAAACACCCAGGUAAGCCAUUCCCUUAUAUUUUGAGCAUUACUGUUGAGUAUCCAUGAAAAAUUUAAAAACCUCCAUAUUUUUGUAACACCCCUUACCCGUGUUCGACGCUGGAAUAGGGUACGAGGCAUUACCGGACUUAAUCAUACACAAACAUGCAAAAACCGGGCUAUAAAAUUUCUUUUAGAUCAAAACUUUAAAUACAUAACGUCUCAUACACGGGCCUCCGAAGCCUUAAACAUGCAUUGAAAAUAGUUAAGGACUAAACCGAGAAUCUUAGAAAAUUUUGGGAAAGCUUAGAAAAAUUUUCCAUGACACAAAGUCACAUGCCCGUGUGGACACAGGGACACGCCCGUGUGCCCAGGACACGCCCGUAUCCUUAGGCCGUGUAACUCUCUAACAAUGACGUCAGCGAAUAAUCUGAACUAUACGGCCAAGCCAUACGCCCGUCUGUUAAGGUCGUGUUCCCCCACACGGUUAAGACACACGGUCGUGUCUCAGCCUGUGUGGCCAACACUUAGGCUAUUUUCCAAGCCGCCUGUGUGGCCAACACUUAGGCUAUUUUCCAAGCCUUUAUGUUACUCUUAAUCCUUCACAUCUUUAUACCCAUCAAGGACACAUGUCAUGAAAUCAUUUUAAUGAUUUAGCAUCCAUAUUAAGACACAUUCAUGACAUUAACAUGUUACCAUUCAUACAUUUCACAUACUCAUAUAAUAUCAAGUCGAGACACAACAAUACCUAUUCAUUAGCCUUGUCAUUUAAUGACCACUUUUACCAAAUUUUCAUAAUUGCCAUCUUAUUUCCAUAUCAAAAAUUUAAUUCAUGGCCAUGACCAUUUCAAUUGGUCAUAGAGCAUUCAUCGUGCACUUAAUUCACAACACCAACCAUAUAUGGCUAACAAGCAUAAUCACAUCAUCACAUCACAAGCAUUAGAACAUAACAUAGAUAGAUAAGUUCACAAACCACAAUCAAUAUGAGCCACUCAUCAUGGCCAUAUAUAAGUAACUCAAUGUAAGCCAAUACCUUUGGCUAAUCAUAAUAAUAGCUAACAUAAAAACUAAGUCCUUAUACAUACCACUCACACGAAAAUGCUAAACAAAUAUGGGUCAAUACUUCGAAGGCAAUGGCCUGAUAGUGUGAUGCUGCUUCUGACGAUCUCCAACCCCAAGCUAACCUGUCACCACUAAAUAAAAGGAAAGGAAGGGAUUAAGCUUUAUAGAUUUGUAAGACCGUAUGAGAAAAAUAAGCAAUUUAUCAACUUGCUUUUCAAGGUAAUACAAUCAUAUUUGCACUUUUAUUUAUGUUGAGGUCAAACUAUUUUCUCGAGUCACAGUUGUUAAAUUAUUUAUAUCUAAAGCUACGAAACUUCAAAUUAAGUUUCGCCAAUUUUUACUUAAAACUAGACUCAUUUAUAUUCUUACGCUAAAAUUUUUAAAAUUUUUGGUCUAGCCAAUUAGUACAGUUUAUUCCUUUAAUUUACCCUUUUUUCGCUGUCUGACAGUUUUGACCCCUCUUCACUAAAAAUUUAUUAUCUCAUGAUACAGGACUCGGAUGACAUUCUUGUCUAUUUCUCUUGAAAAUAGACUCAUUAAAAAUUCGAAGAAUAUAAAUUAUAACCCAUAACUAUUUUUUGUAAAAUUUUCAAUGAUUUUCUCAAAUCAGAACAGGGGAUUUUGAAAUCAUUUUAACUGUCUCACAACAAUUUAAAUAUUUAAUAGUAUGAAACUCCUUUGCUUACACCAUUUCUUCUAUGUGAAACUAGACUCAUUAAGCUUUAAUUUCAUAUUUUAUUCAGUGCUAAAUCAAUUUCCACAAUUUUUGGUGGAUUUUCAAAUUCGAACUAUUGCUGCUGUCCAAAGCUGUUUUAGUGUAAAUUAAUGAUACUAAGUUUAUCACACCUUAUUAAUUCAUUUUCCCCACAUUGGUAAACAUACAUGUUUAUACAUCAUAAGUAUAGACCUAUAAUCAUAAGGUCAUCACAAAAUCAUUCUCAUAAGCAUGACUUACCUAUUUACAUCCUCACCAAAUAUGCACCGUAAACUGAAAUCAUUUCUCAUGAGCUUGGCAUACAUACCUGUGUUACUUAACAUGCUCACAUUCAUUCCUCACUAAUGAUACAACAUGAAUUGAGUUCACAUAUCAUCAAGAUCAUGUAAGUACCUGUACCACUCACAACAUAGCCAUUAUCUCUAUCAUUGCGACGUAAACCAUAAAUUUCUUGUUGAACCAUUUAGAACACUACAAGAUAUUCACUAAGCCUCAAACAUAGGGUAAGAUGUCGACGCCAUGUCCCAGACAUGGUCUUACAUUGGCUAGCACAUCAAAUUCGAUGCCAUGUCCCAAACAGGUCUUACACUGACUUUCAUAUAUCGAGGCCGAUGCCGUGUCCCAGACAGGUCUUACACUGGCUCUCAUCUAUCGGUGUCGAUGCCAUAUGCCAGAUAGGUCUUACACUAACACACAAAAAACUAACGCCAUGUCCCAGACAGGUCUUACACUAGCUUGUAUAUCUCGAGGCCGAUGCAUGUCCCAGACAUGUCUUACAUUGGCUCUCAUAAUGUGGCCGAUGCAUGUCCCAGACAUGCCUUACACUAGCACACAUAUCACGCAAUGUCAUGGCAUGAAUAACCAAAUCUAUUCUUAGUGUUCAACCGGGAGUCUUUAUUACAUUAAUCUCUCAACGUGCAUCCUCAUAUUCACCAUCAAAGCAAUUUAUGCAAUAUCAAUUCAAUCACAUAUCAUAACAAUGUAGUUGCAUUAUUAACAUACAACUUACUUGUUUCAAUGGAAUGUCAUAUUCCAUCAACAUAUAAUUAAAUACAAUCGUAACGAAAUAGAUUUCAAGUAAAUUAACAAUAGCAUGGAUAACAUGUUUAUUUAGUCACACAAACUUACCUCAAAUGCAAUUUCGGCUAAUUAUUCUCUUUUAUCCUUCACCACGUACUUUCUCGAUUUAAGCCUGAAUCUCGAUUUUUCUUGAUCUAACAUGAUGAAAUUCACUCAUUUAAUCACUAAAUAAAUUUGGGCAAUCAAAAUUCACAUUUUUGGAAAAAUGACCAUUUUUCCCCUAGACUUUCACAAAAUGACCAUUUUACCCAUAGGCCCAAAAAUUGAUUUUUAUCGAAUUUCCUUAUUAGCCAAGCCUAAUAGACCAUUUAUUACUCUUAUGAAAACCCCAAAUUUCCACUAUUUCACACAAUUACAACGUAUUUUAUAACUUUUACAAAAUGGCCCUUUUAGGUGUUUUCCAUGAAAAUCACUUUACAAAAGUUGUUUAUUUCACAACCAUAACUCAUUCUUUCAUAAAAUUUCAGUUAAAAACACAUGCUUUCAUGGAAAAACCCUAGACUCUCAACCAUUUUGCAAAAUAGUCCUUUCAAUAGCUAGAUUAAGCUUUAGGGGUCCUAAAAAUGUGAAAAUCAUCAAGAAAUACCAUCAAAAUCACUUACUUGAAUGAGUGAAGAGUGGCUGCAAAUUUCAAGCUUUCAAAACCCUUAUUUUUCUAUUAUUUUCAGUGGAGAGAAUGAAGGUGAAAAGAUGAUAUCACUUUCUCUUUUUUUUUUAUUUCUAGUCAAAACAAAAUCACCAACUUCACCAACUUUUGACUUUUCGUACUCAUCUUUGUCUCUAUGGCCGGCCUAGCAUUUCUUAAGGGUCCAUUUGCUCUUUAAAUACCUCAAAUUUUGGUUCUCUAGCUAUUUAACAUAUUUAUCUAGCAAAACAAAACUUUUGCCCUUUAUGCGAUUUAGUCAUUUUUCUCAAUUAAGCUAGCAAUCGCUAAAAUUAUUUCACCAAAAUUUUCAUGCACUCAUAUAAUCAUACUAUAACACAUAAAAUAACAUUAAAAAUAAUUUCUCUGGCCCCGGAAUAGUGGUUCUGAAACCACUGUUCUGACUAGGCCCAAAAUCGGGCUGUUACAAUUUUUAUUGUUGUAGGGCACUACAGAAGAACAUGAUUGUUGUCUUCUUUAUUCUAGUGACACCUAGGACACUGAUCUUCAACAGCCACUCUUUUCAGCUUGAGAUUUGAAAAAUUAGGAAUAUAGUUAUUUUCCAUACUAUAAUUUUCACUUUCGAAGGAAUGUUUAGAUUCCACAGCUUUUUGUAAAAAGCUUUAGUAUCGACCUGUAUAAAAUUACUAGGAUUUAGAGUAGUUUCUUGUAAUAGCUUAUAGGCGCUCCUCACAAAAAAAUUCCCAGAUGGUUUUCCUCUCCAAACUUGGAAAUCAUCGUGGACUGACCUCGCCAAAGGGAUCUGCAUAAUCUUUUUAGCAAUAUCUAGCUAGAAGGUAUUGACAAUUAAUUCAGUCUUCCACUCUCUAUUUUCAUCAUCAAUUAAGUCCGACACUAACUCUAUAUUUUCAUUUCUGCUUUGAUUCUGAAUCUUAUCUUCUUCAUUACUCGACACCCAAAGGUCUGUCCAAACUGAGAUGCGAUCCACCUUACCAACCCUCCAACAUAAACCUUUCUCCAGAAUUCUUUUGGCUGACCAGACACUCUUUCAAAUAAGUAAGGGUAAGUUUCCUAAAGAAGCAUUUAAAAAAUUCGAAUUCUGAUAAUACUUAGCUUUCAAAACUCGGGCUAACGAAGAAUUGGGAUAAUUAAUAAAAUGUCAACCCUGUUUAGUUAAUAGUGCGAUAUUAAAUAUAUCAAUUUUUUGAAAACCAAGGCCUCUAACUUUUUUUAACGAACAAAUAUCAUUAUGCACACCAAUGUAUACCCAUUUUUCCUCUAUGUUUUUACCACCAAAAUCUCUCAAUUAUACCCUCCAAAUUGGCACAUAAAGACUUAGGAAGUAAAAAUCAAGCCAUUGAAUAAGUUGGAAUAGAUUGAAGAACAGCUUUAAUAAAACCCUCCUUACCCCCUUGAGAAAAGUACUUGAUACUCCAAUUAUCAAUUCUUUGCUGUAGUAUAUCCUUCAAGUUCUGAAAAGCUACUUUCUUUUUUUUACCCACCAAAUUAGGUAAACCUUGAUACUGUUCCAGAUCAUUUGUGCUAUGUAUUCCGAGCACUUUAAUUGUUAUUUUUUUAACCUCCUCCUGCGUAUUAGUGCUGAAAAAAAAGUAGACAUUGAAUAGCUAAUACUUUGACCAGAACAGAUUUCAUAUUCAUGUAGAAUUUGCUUUAAUGAACUUGCACCUCUUUCAGUAGCUUCCCCAAGCAAAAUGCAGUCAUCUGCAAAAAAGUAGAUGUGAAAUAUGUGGACCACUUCUGCUUGCUUUGACUCAUCUAAUUGUUUUUUCUUGAAUUUCUAGCCUUAUAAGACUAGAUAGACCUUCUCCACAAAAUAAAAAUAAAAAUGGGCUCAAAGGAUCUCCCUGUCUUAAUCCUUUAAAAGGAAAGAAAGUUUCUCCAAUAUAACCAUUCAAGAUCACCGAAUACGAUAUUGUUUUAAUGCAUUUCAUUAGUGAAGCAACAUUCCAAGUCAAAUCCCAAUUUCUUUAUUAUUUCUUCUACGAAAUUCCACUCAACUCUGUCGUACACUUUGCCCAUAUCCAAUUUCACCGCCAUAAAUCCUUUUUUCCCUGACCUCUUUUGUUUUAAAGUAUGUAGGAGUUCAUAGGCUAGCAAAACAUUAUCAAAAAUCAGUCUUCUGGGUGCAAAAGCACUUUUUGUUAAAUCAAUGCACUUAUCUAUUACAAUUCGGAGACGAUUAGCAAUAACUUUAGCCAUCAAUUUAUAAAGCACAUUGCACAAGCUGAUCGGCCUAAAUUGAGUUAUAUUCGAAGGAUUUGAAAUUUUCAAACUUAACACAAUAUUAGUUUUGUUGAUUGAGCUAAUAUCCAUACCUCCAUUUAGUUGAUGAAGACAAAAUUAUGUAACAUCUUCCCAUAUAAUUGGCCAACACUUCUGGUAGAAUAACGUUGGUAAACCAUCCUCUCCUGGUGCUUCUGUAGGGCCUAAUUCUGCUAAUGCCUUCUAGAUCUCUUCCUUCAUGUAGCUCCCAUUAAGUUUUGAAUUAUCCUCAUAAAUAUACAAUGAUUAAUUCCUAAUAAAAUGUGAUCAUAAUUUCCCUUUCUUCCAGCGGAGAACAAGUGUUGGAAGUACGAUCUGGCUAUUUCUCCCAUUUUUUCGAUUUCAUUCAUUUCCCUCUAUCAUCAAAUUGCAUUUUACGAAUAAAAUCCCUCUGUCGUUUCUAUGUUGCUUGCGAAUUUCAGCCAAUUAGCUCGUGCCCGUUGUUCCCAGUAACGCUCAUCCUUUUCAAUUUCAAAAUUGAGUUGAAUUUUUGUAUCAAUGAGAUCCGCCAAAGUUUCAUCAUUUCUCUCAACUUUCAGCAAUUUAACCAGUUUUAAAGUUAACUCCUCUUUCUUCUCUUUUAUGCUAUAUCGAAACUGAUUAGCCCAUCUCUUCAAACAUCUCUUAAAAAUUUCUAACUUAUUCAAUAAAUCUCCUUCAGAAUUUUCUCAGAUGUUUCUAACCUCCAUAAUAAACAACUCUUCUAGAACUCACUAUGCUUCAAAUUUGAAACUUCUAUGAAUUUGCUUCUGGACAUCCUUUUUUUUUAAUAAUGAAUAAUGGACAAUGAUCUGAAAACGAAUGAGGAAGAUGCUGUAGUUGAAACUCAGGAAAUAGAAAGAACCAAACAACAGUUGCGACUCCUCUAUGUAAGCGCCCUUGAAUAUUUGUUUCUGGCAAAUUCCCCCUUUCCCAAGUAAACCAAUUUCCAGUAAAUCCCAUAUCCAUCAGAUUGCAUUCCUCCAACACCUUACAAAAAGCUUCCAUUCGCCUCUCCUCUCGUAGUAAAGCUCUUUUUUUUUUGAAGCCAUACAAGAAUUUAUUAAAGUUUCCAUAAACCAUCCAUGGAAGCUCCCCAACAUUCCCUAAUUGUCUUAAAAGAUUCCAUGCUUCAUCUCUCUCUUGGGAAUAAGGAGACCCAUAAAAACCAGUAAACCUCAAUUUGUUUCUUUCAUCCACAUCUUCUAUUAUCACAUCAAUAUGUCAUUUCGAAAAACUUUGAAGCAUUACAUUAUUAUCACCACGCCAAGCCAAACAUAAUCCACCUCUAGAUCUAUUUGAAUCAACAUCGAUGCCAUUGAAAAAACCAUAACUUCUUCGAACAUGUUCCAUCUGACUCCUACUAAUUUUUGUCUCUAUAAAGAAGACCAUUUGGGGAUUAUAUGACUUCAACAAGUGCCAAAGUCUACGAACUGACCGUGGAUUCCCUAAAUCACGGACAUUCCAAUUUAAGAUUUUCAUUACACCCGGCCGGCUUGCCUCUUGGCAGCCGCCGAUGAUAAAUGAUUAAUUUCCCCUAUUCUCAUAUUCCUUACCGCCAAAGUAUUAAUCUCUUCAUUGGCUGGUAAAUCUUCAAUCUCCCCCCGCUUCUCUUUUUGCCCUCCUCUCCAAUUAACACAUCAUCUUCUAGAUCAUGUUCUAUUGAGGCAUGAAAUGACCCACAUAUGAAUUUUCGCCCUUUCUAAGUUAAUCCCCGAUAUUGGAUCUAUAUUAUUCCUGUUCCCCAUAAUUUUUCCUAAACCCCUCAAGCUAUUUCCUAAUAUUUGACUUCCCUCCCAAUUACCACCCUAUUCUCCCUCUCCUUCUUCCUGGAGCCAAACGCUAUUCAUUGCUAAAGCCUUACGAAAUUGUGCUCUUAAUGAUAAAUCCUAUCCCAUUUCAGCAACUUCCACUCCUAAAGCAUUUUCGCUUCACAAAAGGAGUCAUUAUGGCCCAAACGACCACAAUAAAAACAGAAUAGUGAUAAUCGUCCAUAUUUAAAUCUAACAUGAACACUUCCCAAAAAACAUAAUAUGUUUCUUCCUCUUCAAGGGACGCCGUAUAUCAAUUUGGGCUCUUAUUAUCAUAAAAUUUAUAUUUUCUUUUCCCAAAUUUGAGCCAUCAUACUCCAUGAAAGUACCUAUAAAAUUACCUAGUUGCAUCGCCAAAUUUUCAGAGAAAAAAUGAACUGGGAUGUCAUGAAUCUGUACUAAAAAAGGUGUAUAAAUUAAUGGGAUUUUUUAUGGAUCCUCCCCCUAUUGUAACUUAUGUAGCACCAAUAAAUGAUUAUUAAAAGUCCAUGGUGAACCCUUUAAGACCCUCUCCAUAUCCCUAACAUGAGAAAAAUUGAAACAAAUACCUUUUCUUCCUCAGAUCUCAAAUUUGAAGCCCCCGAACAAGAUGCCAUAGAUUUGCCAUGGUACUUUUCAUUGCUGGAAAAUGAAUGAUACUAGCUGUUAGGAAACAACCUACUAGUCGAAAAGCCCUUACCUCUCUUUCCGAAUUUAGGUCGCUUUGUACUUGUAGAACUGCAUCUUCCUCCUCGUUAAUCGUAAGUCCAGCAAAUUCCGCUUCCAUAACAAUGUUUAGAACUCAAUCGUAUGAUUCAACUGAUCAAAAGAGUGAAAGAAAUUUUAAAGAUCUUUCCGCCUUCGACCAAACAAAAGACUAAAAAACAAAAAACCUAAAACUAUUAGAGAAAGCAGACAGAGACGUGCUAGGGUAGCAGACUAUAUUUAUUUUAUUUUUUAAAAAUAAAUAAAACACAAAAAAAAGAUAAAAUAUAAAAAAUUGUCAAACAAAUUCAAAAAAAUCUCAAAAAAUUAAAAAAUAUAAAAAAAUGGUAAGUUGCAUAAAAUUUCUAGAAAUUAAAAAAUAUAUAUGUUUACAAAAACUAAAGUUAAAAAAGUCCAUAAAAAAGUGUCAAAAAAUAGAAAAAAAUUUAAAAAUCAGAAAGAAAAUAUGUAAACUUUAAAACAUUGAAAACAAUUUUUUUUCACUUUGUCCAAUAGUAUACCUGUUCAUGGGCUGGACCAGGCCGGGUCUUGUCAAAAUUUUAGGCCCGAAUCAGGCCCGCCUGCUUCGACUAAAUUAAAUUUUUUAUUAAAAAAUUAAAAAUAUAAUACAUUAAAAAUACUAAAAACACUAAAAUAAAUGUUUCCCAAUAAAUUGAAAAUAAAUUUUAAAAAUAUUUAUACUUAAAUAACACUAAGAUAUGUGUAACUUAACAAGAAAAUGUCCCUAAAAUAGUAACAAAAUUAAAAAUAAAACAAGAGUUAUACAAUAUUCAAAUAAUAACAACAAAAUAAUAGUAAUAUAAUAAUGAAAUUGCAGUAAAACAACAAGAAAAUAGUAAAAAAAACAAUAAGAAAACAUUAGUUCCUUUUUCUUUUUUGUAAAUUCGGGUUGGAUCAAGCCUAGGACAAAAAAAUUUACCCAAGGCUCAACCCGUUUUCUAAACAGGCCUCUUUUUUUUUUUGUCCAAACCCAUUUUUCAGGCCUAUAUUUUUUUCUAAACCCUCUCACUUUUUAGACAGGGAGACUUGGCCCAUGGAUAAGUCUAGCCCAUAGUAUAAUAUAUUUUUAAAUAUUUUGAAUCCAAUAAUCGAAUUUAAAAUUAUCAAUAUAACACAAAACAAAACAACCAAUAUCACACUUUUUAAAAUUUUAUAUUUUCAUUCCAUAUUUUAAAGCUUUUCAUAUUUUUCUGAUUUAAAAAAAAAAGAAGAGUUUUAUGAAUUCUUUUGAUAAUUUUUGUAAUUUGGCUCUUUUUUAUCUUUAUGUAUUUUUUAAACGGAAUUUUUUUAAAUUUCUGGAAAUUUUAUAUAACUUUAAUUUUAUUUUCUGAUUUGUUAAUAUUUUUUGAGAUUUUUCUAAAUUUUUUAGAAAAUUUUUGUAUUCAUCUCUUUUUUUGUGUUUUAUGUAUUUUUUAAAAAAUAAAAAUAAAUAUUUUUUAAAUAUUGGGAUUUUUAUAUAAUUAAAUAUAUACCUUUUUGUUUUUAAAAAAACUUUUGAGAAUUUUUUUGAUUUUACUUUUUUAAAUUUAUUUCUAAAAAAUAAAGUAUAGGUGACUUGGUGCGCUCUCAACGUGUCACGUCACUAGGGGCAAAGCCAAAAAAAUUUUUAGGGAGGGGCUAAAGUUAAAUUGUAAUUUUUAGAAUAGUAAAAAUGUAAUUUCACCAUUUGAAUAACCUGUAUUUUUAUAAUUUUUAGAAGAUUAAAUCAAAUUUGUAUUAUUUUUAGGGGGUCAAACCGUAAUUUUACCUUUAUUAGUUUAAAAUUUUAAAAAUUUUAAAGGGCUUAAAUAUAAAAUUUUUCAUUUUAGAGGAGUCGGACCCUGCAGCCCCAGAUACACCCCCUACAAGUCACUUUUUUUUUAACACCAUUAACGACCAGGGAAAACUGAUAAUGGAUUGGAAUAGAUAAAAAAAAUUAUUUAGGUACCAAAGUGAUAAAUGGGUUCAAAUUUGGGGCAAAUGGUAUAUUAACCCUAGAUGAUAUAUAUAUAAAAGAAGGAGCACGUUGAUUCAUGAUGACACAGAGAAGAGUGCUAUUCAUAAUGGAGUUUGUGUGCAGUUCUAUCUGUACCUUGCAUCUAAGAUGUCCACGUUUGCAUUAUGCAAACAUCCGUUUUGCUCCUCCUCUUUCACUUCACCUUUCAUUUUCUUUCUAUUGUUUUAAAUAAAAAUGAUCUUCCAAAGAAGACACUGCUGCAAACCUAGAAACCUUAUUCCUUGUUCAUGUUAUAAUUGGUAUUGGUAUGUUGAUUCCUUCUUCCUAUUGUAAAAUUUUUAUCAUUUAGUCUCUACUUGAUCGGGAGGGAGCAUUGAAGUAUGUCGGUUUUCUAAUGGAAAGUUCUAACUUUUUCUUUUUGUUAAAAGGUCUGAAUGACUCAAUCUGUCACCCUCUGCUCUUUUGGACUUCUUUGUUUUGCAUUCAACUUAUUACUGUUGUUGUUUUCUGAUAUUUGUUGAAGUUUUUGAAUUAGGGUUUUGCAGAAUUGGUAGUGGGGGUAUUAAAAAGAUAAAUACCAGAGCCAGAAGGAAAAGUCCCAUUGAAGCAAGAAGAAGUAAAUUACUAAUCAUAGUUAACAUGCAAGAACAUUGACAGGGCAUUUUGCAUACCUCUGGGAGCUUUACCUCGUCUACCACCGUAUCUUCCUGCUCCUGUUAGUAGUUUACCAUGCCAUUGGCUCCGUCUGAUCGAAUAGCUCUUUUUGACACGUUUCAAACUGGAAUUCUAAUAUUGGUUUCUGGUUUUGUAGACGUUGAAGCUUUUAGCUAAAGUUGCAGUACUCAAAGAGGAGGUCAUUUGGCUCGAAGAGCAGGUCAUACACUUUAGGCAGGACUUGUAUCGAGAAGUUGUCUGUAAAUCAUUGUUGAAAUGGAAAAUGGAGAAUUCAGCUGAUUGAGAGAGCCUUGUCUGGAUAAUAGUACUAAAUCUCAGCUAUCUACAACGUCAACUCGAAAUACAUGAAUGGCAAGGCAUUCGAGAUCGUUUUCGGGUAAGCCCUUUUGUGGUUUUUAAUUCCUCAUCUUAUGGCAUUAUCAUUUGAUGCAUAUUGGUAUCGAAGUAGGCCGUCUUUCAAGGAAAGCUAGUAGUACCUACUGCAGGCUAAUAUACCAAAGGCUAUCUCAUGUGGCCCAUAGGAGGCCUUAGUUUUCUGAAUCAAUUUUGUCAUUUAAUCAAUGAGCGGCAUGUUAAGGAGCCGUUGCGUAGGCUAGCUCCUGCUCUAUCAUCUGGUUAUGACCUGUUUGGACGCCAUUGAAUAGCAAAUACUAAUUGAAGUUUUGAAUUAAAUUCGAGCAGUCCAAUAUCAGUCCUUCACAUUUAUCCACCACGGCUUGGUAAUACAUCAGCAUUUAGUGAUGCAACAUUCAAACCCAACUAUUCUUAUUCUUCUCUGCCCAAAAGAAGUAUAUAUACUAUAGGUUGAAAUACACCAUAAGUCCUAUGCCCUUAACAAAUUUAGAAUUUAGUUUUUAUUUUAUUUUUAGGAUUUUAGUCUCUCUAAUUUUCAGAUUUCAAAAUGCAAGGCCAAUUAUUAAUGUCGUAACCAUUUUUUGAAAAACGGGAAUCAAUUUGGAUUUUGAAAAUGAACACAAAAGACGGGAGUCGCCACCGAUCCUUUUUGACUAGGUGUGAUCGGGUCACCUCGUUAAAGUGGUUGUUUUUAAUAAAUAACUUGAUUUAUUUAAACAACAAUUUUGGUCUACGCAAAUCAAGAAAAUAGGUUCGGGAGUCGGUUACGCACGAGGAAGGAUUAGCACCCUCGAUACGCCCAAAAUUGGGACCUAGUUGAUUAAUUAGUGUCUUAGUGUCGAAGAAUGAAAACUUGGAAGACUUUUGAAAUACGAUCCCUCUUUAUAAAGAAAAUGCUUAAAUAUUAAAGAUCUUCUCGUCUCAAAUAUGAAAUGUCAUAUCCAGUGAGUUAGGACACAUCUUGAAUUUUCGAGAGCGAGCUUGCCUUUUGUAAAAUCUGUGUAUUUUAAAGGGUAUUCGAUUAUUUAGAGUGAACGAGAGAAAUCGAAACCCAGUAAGUUAGGGCACGUUUUCUCGAAUUUUCAAACACCGAAUAUUGCCUUUAUUCCAAAACAAAUUCUUAUUUCGAGAUGACAAAAUGUCAUACCCAGUAAGUUAGGGCACAACACUUCGCAUCUUCGAGAAUAAGUAUUUUCAAAACUCGUAUAAUGAUUUAAAAAUAAUAUAUUCUGUUAUUUAGGUUAAAUGAGAAAAGUCGAAACCCAGUAAGUUAGGGCACGAUUAUCUCGAAUUACCUAAUACAGGAUAUUGCUUUUAUGAAAGAAUUGUUUGAAUAUAUUGAGUGACAAAAUAUAACGUGAUUUAUAAAAGUAAAUUUUGGUAUUAAUAAUAAUGUAUAAUAAUGAGCGUGACGAUAUCAAAAUAAUAAUGUGAGCAAUUACAUAAAAAUGAAAUAAUAGCAAGCCUAGUAAUGUGUAAAUAUAGACAAACGCAUGAGGAAAAUAAAACCAUCGAAUAAAAAUGCAUAUAACAUGACAAAAGAAAAAUGGCAAUGAUGACGAAAACAAUAAUAGCAAUAGUAUAAAACGAUAAUAAUACAUAUGGUAUUGAAAUUUAUAUAAUAAUGGAAACAAAACAAACAAAACAAACAAAAAUAUAUAUGAUAUAUUAAAAAUAUACGGGAUAUAUAUAUAUGAAAUGAGUACAUAAUAGUCAUAAAAAUAUACAUAAUAGAAUGUACAAACAAUAUGAUAUUUACAAUGUAUAUGUACAUAAUAUAUAUGAUAUGUAUAAUAUUAAUAUACAUGUGCAUAAUAUGGAGUAUUAUAUAUAUAUAUUAGAAGGAUGUAUGUAUGAUAUACAAAUGCAUUAACAAAACAAUAAUACCAAAAAUUAAUAAUAAUAUAUAAAUGUAGACGUAUAUGUAUAGGUUAAAAAUAUAUACACAUAUAAUAAUACAUACACUAACAUUAUUAUUAAAUAUAAUGGGGGUAAAAAUAGAUAUAACAUAUACGCGUAUAGUAUGGUAUUUAAAUGCGUAUACAUGAAAUAUAUAUUGGGAAUAAUAAUAAUAUAUAAACAUAUAAAAUAUAUAUGUAAGUGUUAAAUGGAAAGUAAAAAGAUUACUAAAUAAUAGUAUAAACAUGAUAAUAAUAACAAUGAGAAUAAUAAAUAAAAUGAUAAAUAAUAUUUAGAAAAUAAAAAAAGGGCAAAAAUAAUAUAAAAAACGUAUUAAAUAUGAAAAAGGGACUGAAUUCGAAACAAAAUAAAGAUUCGGGGCCGAUUAAAAAAUAAUAAAGGAGAAAUGGACUAAUUUGAAAACGCGCGCGACUGCGGAGGGCCAAAAAGGAAAUUUUCCCGAGCCCUUAAAACGCAUCACUGAAGGGAGGGCCAAAUCGCAAUAUGCGACAAACUUCUGGGUUAAUUUAAAAUAAAUAAGAACUUGAUUGCAAAAUAUACAAAAAGUGGAAGGACUGCGCAAGCAAUUAGACCAUGCUUGCAAAAACACGCGGAUCCUUCGGGCAGACGGGUCGGGUCGUGGAUCGGGUCGCUAAACGACGUCGUUUUGGGUGCUGAAUGCACGCCCCAAAACGACGUCGUACCGGGGGCCUUUAAAAGUCAAGUUUUUUUUUUAAAACUUCAUUUUUCAUUCCUUUCAGCAAAAAAAAAGGGCUGAAAACCUCUCUCCCUCUCUCCUUUCUCUGCAGCGAUCCCAGAAACCGGCGAAGAACCGACCGUCCGCUGCCGUGUUAUCCGCCAUGCCGGCCACCGUACGCGGUGGCUGAAAAUCACUCCAGGUAUGAUUUUUUUUAUAUUUUUUUUGCUGUAUUUUACACGGUGGCCGGAAAUCACUCCAGGUAUGAUUUUUUUUAAUAUUUUUUUUGCUAUAUUUUAGUGCUUAUGAAUAUGUAUGUAUAUAUUAUUUUUAGUGUAAAUCAAACGAAAAAAAUAUUUAGAAAAUAGAUCCGAAAGAGAAUAGUUAAACCUUGCCUUGCGCUUCUUUGAACUCCGUUCGAUUUUUCGUUGCAACUUUAUGCCUAUGUUUUCGAUCUGUUUUUGUUUUUUGGUCUAAUGUUGCUUAUUAUUUUUACUGAAAAAUGCCCGAGUGACUACAUGGUUUUUAGAUUUGGCUUUUAAAUAGCCAUUACAUUUCUUUGUUUUGCUUUAUGUCACUUCCCGUUUAAUGCUUGCAGGAGCGCAACUUGGACGACAGUGGGGCGGUGCUGUAGGCGUCGGUGGAUGGGACAGGGGUCAGAGGCUGAACGGCUAGGGUUUUAGAUUUUCUUUCAUUUUUCUUUUUCUAUUUUGUGUUUGGGCCAUGUGGGUUUAGUGGGUUUUGGGUAGGUUAUUUGUGUUGGGUUUGGGAUUUUGUUAGGUUUAGUGGGUUGUUUAGUGGGUAUUUAGGGGUUAGUGGGUUUUAUUUGGGCCCCAAAAUUGGGCUGUACAGCUGCCCCUCUUUGCUUGUUGUCGUGUAAUGAGAACAAACCAAAGACUUAAGAAAGACCAAUUUUGCCCGGUCGCUGAGUCUUGACUUCUUUGGUGCUCUUAUUCUUCAGGUAGCUUCAUUCCAGUCUACUGCGGCUCGUCACUUUACUCCGCUCCAUUGCAACUUCGGAGAAACAAGACUUGUGAUUUGUAGUCUCAAUCUGUUCCUUCGCAACUUCAAGGAGAUAAGAUUCACUAGCUUCAGUCUAUUCCACUACAGUUUCAAGGAGGUGAGACAUGUGACUUCAAUCUACUCCGUUGAAACUUCGAGGAGAUCUGUUGUGGCUUCUAACCUCUCCAGUGCCAUUUCAAGGAGAAGAGAUUUGUAAUUUCUAGCCUGUUACCCUACGGUUUAGGGGGUUAAGGCUCACCGUUUUUUAUCUGCUCCACUACUGCUUAGGGAGGUAAGAUUUAUAAAUUCAGCCUGUUACCUUACUGCUUAGGGGUUUAAGGCUCUUUUACCUUCGAUCUAUUUCUCUGCUACUGAGGGAGAUAAGAUCUGCAAUUCUGUCUGUUACCCUACUCCUUAGGGGUUUAAGACCUAUCGCAUUCGAUCUGUUUCCCCAUUGCUUAGGGUGAUAAGAUCUUCAAAAUUCAGCUUGUUACCCUACUGCUUAGGUGUUAAAGCUCGACCUGUUUCCCUACUGCUUAGGGGUUUAGAUAUGUAAAUUCAACCUGUUACCCUACUGCUUAGGGGUUUAAGGUUUGAAAAUUUGGCUUGUUACCCUAUUGCUUAGGGGGUUGAAGCCUAUCACUUUCGAUCUGUUUCCCUAUUGCUUAGGGGGUAAGAUCUGUAAAUCUUCAGUCUACUCCACUGCGACUUCAGGGAGAUGAGACUUGCUAGAUUCGAUCUGUUCCACUGCAACUUCAGGGAGACAAGAUCCGUAAUUUUUAGCCUAUUACCCUACUGCUUAGGGGGGCUAAGGUCUGUAAAUUUAACCUGUUACCCUACUGCUUAGGGGUUUAAGGUUUGGUGAAUUCACUGAUUCUAGGGACAUGACCUGUAGAAUCAGCUCCAUGUAUUUAUGUUUAUGCCAAAGAAUUAGGAUGCUAUGAUUAAAGUGAAUCAAAUGCUCCUAAUUAGAUACAUUAUGAAUGAUCUAUGAAUGUAUGAAUGCAGCAUGUUGUGAGCGUGAAUCCUUGUUUAGGCUGCCAUUACUCUUUGUUCAUCAAGGUUCCUUCACUGAAAUGGUACCCUGUCUUUUUGUUCAGCUCCAAUUUGAACAGAAGACCUGAAGAGGUAGUCCCAAUUUAAACUCUUUCUUCUCAGAUGUUUCCGAUCUUUGAGUUUAGUUAGUUCUAAAAAAAUAGUCCUGUUUCAUGUUCCUGUACUAUUUAGAAACUUUCAGAAUAAUAUACAGAACUCUUUUUGUGAAAAUGGCUUUAGUCCAUUAAUCCAUCAUUUCAAUGCAAAAUGCUUGAAAAAGAUCAUAAUAAUGACAAAACUGAAAUUUAUCAGAAACAACAUUUGAAGGGAAUAGAUUAAUCACAGUCAACAAACAUUGCUGGAAUAAAAAAUGAAUAAAAGGGAAUAGGUACCCCAGAUAUCGCAGCGUGAGUUUUUCUGUACUGACUUCUUGAGGACUCAUUUUUUGCCCAAUAUGUGUUUAGGGGAUCUAGAGUACUCUUGCAGAUGUCCUAAGAUGUAACAUCUCUCAUCCUUGCUAAUUUAGGUACCAUAAGACCAUCACAUGCCCCACCUUUGAUCAAAAUUUUAAUCGCCCUUUACGGGUUUUCAAUUCAAAAUCCUUUUGGUCUCAAGGUGCUCUUUGCGAGUUUUCACCUUGGCCUCUCUUUUUUUUUAGGCGAAGUAUUUCUUAACCGAAUUCGAAUUCACGGGAUUGGAUAAAGUCUUGCCAUCCAUUUCAGCCAAUAUCAAUGCUCCGCCAGAAAAGGCUUUCUUCACCACAUAAGGCCCUUCCCAAUUUGGCAUCCAUUUUCCUCUAAAGUCCUUUUGUGUAGGCAGGAUCUUUUUCAGUACUAGAUCUCCUUCGUGGAACUCUCUGGGACGAACCUUUUUGUUGUAAGCUCGCACCAUUCACUUUUGGUACAUCUGACCAUGGCGAAUAGCCCGUAGCCUCUUUUCUUCAAUCAAAUUCAACUGAUCGUAUCGGGACUGGAUCCAUUCUGCUUCAUCCAACUUUACUUCUGACAAAACUCUGAGGGAAGGAAUCUCGACCUCAAUAGGUAAAACUACCUCAAUCCCAUAAACUAAUGAGAAAGGCGUUGCCCCAGUAGAAGUUCUGAUAGACGUUCGAUAAGUAUAGAGGGUGAAUGGUAGCUUCUCAUGCCAAUCUUUAUAAGUUUCUGUCAUCUUUCCUACAAUCUUCUUGAUGUUCUUAUUGGCUGCUUCGACUGCACCUUUCAUCUUCGGGCGAUACGGUGACAAGUUGUGAUGUCUGAUCUUGAACUAACUGCAGACAUCCGCUAUCGUGCUGUUGUUCAAAUUCAAUGCGUUGUCAGAUAUGAUCCUUUUCGGCAUUCCAUAUCGACAGAUGAUUUCCUUUUUCAGGAACUUGCUAACUGUUGAUUUAGUGACAUUGGCAUAUGAAGCGGCCUCCAUCCAUUUGGUGAAAUAAUCGAUGACCACAAAGAUGAAACGAUGCCCAUUUAAAGCUUUUGGUGAAAUUGGCCCAAUCACAUCCAUGCCCCACAUCGAAAAAGGCCAUCGCGAAGUCAUGACAUGCAGAGGUGAGGGAGGUAAAUUAAUCUUGUCUCCAUAGAUUUUGCACUUAUGACAUCUUUUGGCGUAGUUAAUAUAGUCUCCUUCCAUGGUGGACCAAUAAUAACCGAACCUCAUAAUUUGCCUAGCCAUUGUAAAACCAUUAGCAUGUGUCCCACAGACGCCCUCAUGGACUUCUUCCAAGAUUUUCUUAGCCUCAAUGGCGUCUACACAUCUUAAUAGUACCUGAUCCUUCCUUCUUUUGUACAGGAUCUCCCCAUCUAAGACAUAGUCACUGACCAGUCUUCUCAACAUUCUUUUGUCGUUCUUAGUAGCUUGGUCGGGGUACUCGCGAUUCUUCACAUAUCGUAGGAUAUCGUGGUACCAAGGGCGAUCAUCAUUUUCCUCUUCUUCUUUGAGGUUGUAACAAUGAGCCGGGGCCUCGUAAAUGCUCAUUUGGAUUGGUUUCACAUCCUCUGGUUGGUUCACCUUAAUCAUAGAAGCUAAAGUUGCUAGGGCAUCAGCCAUCUGAUUUUCUUCUCGUGGGAGGUAGUAGAAGAUAAUAUCAUCAAACUCUUUAAUUAACUCAAGGAUCAACCUCCGAUAAUUGAUCAAUUUGAGGUCUCUUGUCUCCCAUUCACCUUUGAGUUGAUAAAUCACUAGGGCAGAAUCUCCAUAUACCUCUAACACCUUGAUUUUACAUUCUAUGGCCGCACGUAUUCCCAUGAUGCAUGCUUCGUAUUCUGCCAUAUUGUUCGUGCAGUCAAAAUUCAAUUUACUAGUGAAUGGAUAAUGAUCUCCGUUCGAGGACACCAAAAUUGCCCUGAUUCCGUUACCCAUGGCAUUUGAUGCUCCGUCAAAGUUUAGCUUCCAAAGGUGACCUUGAGGGUCUUCUUCAGUGGUUGCUAUGCACAUUAGAUCUUCAUUUGGGAAAUCAAAGUUCAGAGGCUCGUAGUCCUCUAGGGCUCUGCUGGCUAAGAAAUCUGCUAUCGCACUCUCUUUUACGGCCUUCUGGUUCACAUAGACUAUAUCGAAUUCAGAAAGUAGAAUUUACCAUCGGGCCAUUCUCCUGUUCAAGGCAGUCGACUCCAUCAAGUACUUUAGAGGAUCCAUUUUAGAGAUCAGCCAAGUUGUAUGGUACAACAUGUAUUGUCUCAGUCUUCGGGUUGUCCAAAUCAAGGCACAGCACAACUUUUCAAUGAACGAGUAUCUCGUCUCACACUCAGUAAACUUUUUUACUAAGGUAAUAUAUCGCUCUUUCUUUCCUUCCCGAUUCAUCGUGUUGGCCAAGCACGCAUCCCAUAGAAUUUUCAAAUACCGUCAAAUACAGUAUCAGUGGCUUAUCUGGAUUAGGUGGUGUCAACACUGGGGCAUUAGACAAAUAUUGCUUAACUUUUUCGAAGGUCUUCUGGCAUUCCUCGUCCCAACCACCAGGGUUGUGUUUCUUAAGGAGAUGGAAUAUAGGGUCACAUUUCUCGGUUAGUUGUGAAAUAAACCAAGCGAUGUAAUUUAGUCUUCCUAGGAAUCCUCGAACUUCCUUCUGAGUGCGUGGUGGAGGUAACUCUUGUAUGGCUUUGACUUUGUCUGGGUCAAUCUCAAUCCCUUUUCCACUGACCACGAUUCCUAGCAGUUUUCCUGACCUGACUCCGAAGGUACAUUUUACGGGAUUGAGUUUCAACUGGAAUUUUCUCAACCUCAAAAAUAAUUUCCUCAAGACUUGCACAUGCUCUUCUUCUGUCCGAGAUUUGGCGAUCAUGUCGUCGACAUAGACUUCAAUUUCUUUAUGCAUCAUAUCAUGAAAUAGGGUUACCAUGGCUCUCUAAUAUGUUGCUCCUGCAUUUUUCAAUCCGAAUGGCAUUACUUUAUAGCAAAAGGUUCCCCACAUGGUCACAAAUGUGGUUUUAUUCAUUUCUUCAAGAUGCAUCUUGAUCUGAUUGUACCCCGAGAAACCAUCCAUGAAGGAGAAGAGUGAGUAACCUGCCGUGUUGUCCACUAAGGUGUCGAUAUGAGGCAACGAGAAAUUAUCUUUCGGGCUGGCCUUGUUUAAGUCUCUGUAGUCUACACACAUCCGUACCUUUCCAUCUUUUUUAGGGACGGGGACGAUGUUGGCUACCCAUUCCGAGUACUUAACUACUUGUAAGAAACCAGCAUCAAAUUGCUUCUUGACUCCUCUUUUAUCUUCAACAGAACAUCGGGCCGCAUCCUUCGAAGCUUUGCUGAACUGGCUUGCAUUCUUCUUUGAUGGGGAGUCUGUGUACCACAAUGUCAGUACUUAGCCCAGGCAUAUCUUGAUAUGACCAUGCAAAGACAUCUUUAAACUCUUGGAGUAACUCAAUAAGGUCCCGCUUUGUCUCUGUGGUGAUGCAAGCUCCGAUCUUUACUUCUCUCCUUUCUAGUUCAUCUCCCAAGUUUACGACUUCUACGGUCUCUUUGUGGGGUAGAAUCUAUUUCUCCUCGUGUUCUACCAUUCUUAACAAAUCAGGGGAUAAGUUACAGUCUCCAUCAUCCUCAAAGUCUUGGGAUCCCUCCAGACACAUAUCUCGCUCAAAAGGAGAUUCUGAAUUAGUAGCAACGUCACUCGCAUCAUUGAUAUCUGGAGACCUGUUGUAGGUGUGAAGGAAGAUGCAAAGAACAAGAGAAUCUAAGAACAAUGAUAUGUUUGGUAUGAUCAUGAAUGAAAGAAUAAAAGAAUAUUUGUACGGAAUAAGUCAAAAGGAUGCAUUUCAUUGAAAUAACGAUUUCGAACAUAAGCCUAUUUCACAAAAUGACACUUGUUACUCCUAGGCCUAGAGCAAUAAGUGUGUUUUGGACAUUACUCUGAGUUAGUUCUAAAGACUACAGGAAUCUCUUCUGCAGUCCAAUUAUUCAGAACACUUCCCGGCUCAUAGGGGCGAAUGCUUGACAAAUUCUCUACCCCCGUCCCUUCUUCAUAUGUGGCGUUGAUGUCCAAACUCUCCAUCAUUCCUUCCAAGAUUUCCUUUCCCGACGUCUUCCGCUCGGAGUGAAUGACCCCUCCAGACACAAAAGUGUUCGAUAUAUGGGGGAAGAUCAUUGGUUCCCAUUCGAUUUCUCCUCCGCUCAAUCGCACUCUCCUUCUUUCUUGCUUCUUCUCAAGUUCUUUCUUUCUUUGUUUCAUGUCCGGCUUAAACCCUAACCCAAAACGGUCUUGUUUGUCCUUCAUCCUUGGUACAUUAAUCCUUCCUUAAAGGUAUCUCCCGAGUCCUUCCGGGUAGAGCCCCCUUUCCAACAGUUAACCGUAGUCCCAUUCUUGUAGUCUCAGAUAACCUAGGCAUUGGAAUCUUAUUUCCUUCAAUGAUGAACGUCGCGUUCACAAACUCCAAAGAUCGAAAAGAGCACUCGAUCGCUUCAUCAUUUGUCUCCAAAUAUGGGGCAUCACUGGUUAUUGCAGCGAUGAUGUCCUCUUCAGCAUUGAUUGUUACUAACCGACCUUCGGUCACUAAUUUCAACUUUUGAUGCAGCGAUGAAGGGACUGCCCCCGCUGAGUGUAUCCAUGGCCUCCCCAAUAGGCAAUUGUACGAAGGCUUAAUGUCCAUGACCAAGAGAUCUACCUCGUAUGUGCUCGGCCCGAUUAAGAGGGGUACUUCAAUUCUCCCCAUUACCCUCCUUUUCGUGCCAUCAAAUGCUCUCACUACACUUUGGCAUGUCUUCAUAUGGGAACUAUCCACUGGCAACCUACUCAGCGUAGAUAGGGGUAGGACAUUCAGUGCAGACCCAUUGUCAAUCAAUACCCCCGAUAAUGUGUACCCUUUACAGCGAGUCUUGAUAUGCAAAGCUUUAGUUGAUCCUCGGCCCCCUGGCGGUACCUGAUCGUCAUUGAAGAAUAUGAAGUUGUCGGCAUUUAUAUUGUUGACUAAGCGGUCUAGUUUGUUUACAGAGAUAUCGUUAGCAACAUAAGUUUCAUUCAGCACCUUCAUCAAUGCGCUGCGAUGAGUUUCGAAACUUAAAAGUAAGGCCAGUACCGAUAUACGCGCUGGCUGUUUGUGCAACUAUUCUACGACACUAUAUUCGCUGUGCUUUAGGAAUUUUAAGAAUUCCUUGGCUUCUUUUUCAGUCACUGAUUCAUUAACAGUUGGUUCAUGCCCCGCCGGCUUCUCUUUCUUUUGCUCAAUUGCUAAUGAUUUUUCUUUAACCUGCUCGACUUUUGUAUUUGGGGUAUAACGCCUUCCGCUGCACGUAUAAAAACCUUCAUCUUGAACUUCCUCUGAUGCAUUAAUAGGGGUCUCCUCUCCCAGGAAUGUCACAUUGCAGCUAUAGUUCCACGGUACCAUUUUGCUAUCUUUAUAAGGAAAAGCAACGGGCUUUUGGAUCACGACCUUUGGCGCAACUCGUGCCCCAGCUUCAUUCAUUCUCGGACGUGAUAUGAUAACCACUGGGUGGUUGACUUUGUGAACAUCCUUCAUCGACCCCUCUUCGGAGGCACACACAUCUGUUUCUCCUAGGCUGCCGACAUAUUUGAAGAAUUCCAGCUCCUUAUUAUCCAUCAAUCCUUGUAUUAAAGCCCUGAAUUGGCUGUAUUUUUUGAUCUCAUGAUCCACUUGAUUGUGGAACUCACAAUAAUUCUUCGCUUCUCAAGGCCUGACCCUCAAAUUCUGUGCUAUCAAACCUCUUUCUACCAUUUUCUUUCAUACUUCUUUCAACGGGGUAUUCACUUCUGCAAUAUUCAUCUUAAUUUCUUUCCCCGAACUCUCAAUUAUCGCAUUUAUUCCCUUAUCCCCAUGGUUAGGUAAUGGAUUCUCUGCACUGGAUGUAUCAUCAAAUUUCACAAUCCCCAUGUUGAUGAGUCUCUCAACCAAUUUUUUUAAAGUGGUACAGUUUUCUAUCGAGUGUCCUGUGGCUCCCGCAUGGUAUUCGCAUUGGGCAUUUGCGUCAUACCAUUUGGGGUAUGGAGGUUGCAUUGGCUUUAGAUAGAAGGGAGACACGACAUGUGUAUCAAAUAAACUCUGGUAUAACUCCUUGUACGUCAUUGGAAUGGGCGUAAUUGAAGUUUCUCCCUAUUUUGUUUUGUGUUGGGCUCUUGUCUGGGUGGGCCCUGCUGUCCAGUAGUUGUCGACCUUGGUUGGCUUAGGUGAUCGAUUUCGAAUAUGAGCUCACAUUAUUCACCUCGUGCUCUUUCUUUCUCGGCGCUGACCUCUUAGCAUUUUUUCCAGCCUCUAUUUUCCCACUUCUUAUGGCAUUUUCUAUCAUUUCUCCAGACAUUACUAUGUCCGAAAAACUCUUGGUUGCGCUACCCAGCAUAUGGUUAAUAAAAGGUGCCUUCAGGGUAUUGAUGAAGAGCAUAGUGGUUUCCUUUUCCAACAGAGGGGGUUGGACCUGUGUGGCCACUUCUCUCCAUCACUGGGCGUAGUGCCUAAAGCUCUCAUUAUGCUUCUUCUCCAUAUUCUGUAAAGUGAUUCUAUCAGGGGCUAUGUCUGCCACAUGACCGUACUGCUUCAUGAAGGCUUGUGCUAAAUCUUUCCAUGAACUGAUCUGGGUGCGACUCAGCUGGUUGUACCAUCUAGAAGCGGCCCCAACCAGACUUUCUUGGAAGCAGUGAAUUAAUAGCUGGUCAUUGUUGACAUGGCCCGCCAUUCGUCUGCAGAACAUAGUGAUGUGAGCUUCGGGACAGCUAGUCCCGUUGUAUUUCUCAAAUUCCGGAGUUUUGAACUUGGGUUUUGAACUAGAUAAAUUAGCUAAGUUAUACAUUUUCGAUAUUGUGAGAUUGCACGGGGUGCCUUUGUUUAUUUUGUCAGAUAGAGAUACAAGAUUCACUUCGUGGUUUUAGAAUAAAUUACAAGAGACUUUGGGUACAAAAUUACACUUCAGUACUGCUUUUCACCUGCAGACGAAUGGUUAAUCUAAGCAAAUUAUUCAGAUUCUCGAGGAUAUGUUGAGAUGUUGCAUUCUUGAGUUUGAUGGUACUUGGGAACAGUAUUUUUCAUUGAUUGAAUUUACUUAUAAUAAUAGUUUUCAAUCGAGCAUUAAAAUGGCACCGUACGAAGCCUUAUAUGGUAGAAAAUAUCGUACACCAUUGUAUUAGUUAGAUCUUAGUGAAAAUAAGAUAUACAGGAUCGACUUGAUUAAAAAGACUGAACAAAAAGUAAAAAAAAUCUGAGAAAGUCUGAAAGUAGCUUCUGAUCAUCAGAAAUCAAAUGUAGAUUUGAAACGAAAAGAUAUUGAAUUUAAGAUCGGCGAAAAAGUGUUUCUAAAAGUAUCCCCGUGUAAGAAAACACUCCGAUUCAACAAAAUAGGCAAAUUGAGUCUGAGGUUCAUUGGACCGUUUGAGAUUAUUGAGCGGACCGGACCAGAUGCAUAAAGAUUUCUAUUGCCACCUGAGCUAGAAAAUAUCAACAAUGUAUUUCAUGUAUCGAUGCUUUGACGAUAAAGAUCUAAUCCUUCACAUGCAAUUACUCCAUCCGAAAUAGAAAUUCAGUCCGAUAUGACAUAUGAAGAAGAAUCGAUCUGUAUCUUAGCUCACGAGAUUAAAGAAUUGAGAAAUAAGAAAAUUUCAUUAGUAAAAGUAAUGUGGAAUUGGCACGGUGUUGAAGAAGCUACGUGGGAGCCCGAAGAUGUUAUGAGACGGCAAUAUCUUACACUAUUCAAUGGUAAGAUUUUCGAGGAUGAAAAUCCCUAAGGGCGGAGAGUUGUAACAUCCCGGUUUAGACCCUAGUUGGAAUACUAGUUUCGGGACCACAAAUUUGAGUUAGAAAAAUAUUUUUAAUAUUAUUUUAUAUGCUUAUAAUAUGUGAAUUGAUAUCUGUAAAAGUUUCGUGUGAAAUUUUGUUCGUUUGUGUGCUUAAUUUAGAAAAAGGACCUCACCGCAUAAAAAUUAAAAGUGGCUAGCUAUUUGUUGAAAGUACUUAAGUGCUAUGUCUUGUUAAAGGAGACGUCCUGAUGAUGUUAUUAGACCAUAACUAAGGUUAAUGGACAUUAAUGACCAUCCAUUAAAUGUUUUAAAUGGUUAUAAAUAAGGUUAAUAUGGUAAUUAGCAUAUUAUGUUAAUAUAAUUAAAACAAAACAUUAAAUGGGCCAAUAUGUUCAUCAUUUAGCCGAAAUUGAAGAAAGAAAAAUAGGGUUCCAAGCCUUCAAACAUUCGGCACUUAUUUUGGCUAAUUAGGUAUAUGUUUUUUAUCCAUUUUUGAUAAUUUCUACAUUUUUGUGAUCGUUGCUUUGUGUUUUAUCAAGCCCAUGCCUCAAUUUUUGAAUUUGAUUAUGAUUUUAAGAUGUGCCACUGUUGAUAAAGUGAGUUUUAUGAAGUUUGAUGAUAGAAAAUGAAAGAUAUGUGUUAGAUUACUAUGUUUUGUAUUGGGAUUUUUGAUGAAUUUGAGAAUUUUGGACUAAAUUUUGAAAAUGUGAAAUUGAGGGGUUAAAAUGUGAAAUAAAUGAAAUAAUUGGGCUUAUAUGAACGAAAGGAGAAUUCGGCUAGGCAUGUGUGAAAUGAAAUUAUGCAUAUUAGGUGAUGUUAUGAAAUAGGGACUAAAAUGUUAAAAUGUGAAAAUGUGAAAAUGUGAUGGCUAAUUUAUAAAAUGCCCUAAAUAUGUGCUUAUGGAUUGAUUUGAAUAAAUAUGAGAUUGAAUAAGUCAAAUUUGAAUGUGUUUAGAUCAAGAUCCAAAGAAAACGAAAUUAGAUCGAGGAAAGUCGAAAGUCGUUGAAUAGUCCUUCAUUUCCGUACGAGUGAAGUCUAUAUACAAAUAAAUGUGUUUGAAUUGAUUUAUUAAUGUUUAUAUGAUAUUGAAUUGUGAUGAAUGGUUAUAGAAGUUGAAUAUGUGAAAUUGAGAAAGUUUCGAUAACAUAACGAAGUCCGAAAGCCUCGUACGAACCAUAGGAAUAUUUAGGAUACAUAUGUCAUGACAUAAGAUUUUCGAUAUGUGAUUUCGUGUAAGACUACGUCUGGGACGUUGGCAUCGAUUUGAGAUUUAUGUGUAAGACCAUGUUUGGGACAUCGGCAUCGUAUUUGAUUUCGAGUAAGACCCUAUCUGGGAUAGUGGCAUCGAUAUCUGAUUACAUGUAAGACCACGUCUAGGACGUUGGCAUUAUACGAGCUUUCCGCGUAUCCUAUUUAAUUUGUACAGUUCAACGGGCAUUCUGGGAAAUACAUGAUUGCAUGAAUGAAUAACCGAUUCAGGUAUGUAGAGAUGUGUUCAACAUUUCUUAAUGAGAAGUAAGUAUAUGUGCAAGAGAUGAUAUGUGAUAUAAGUAUGAGAAAUUAUGCUAUAUGUGCAAUGAAUUGGAAAUAUGUGAGAUGUAUAUGAACUAUGUGUUUUGUGAUAGUAUUUGGUUAUGGAGUAUAUGUAUUUUAUGAUGCUUACAUGCUUAAAAUGAUAAGUUGAUUUGUAUAUGGCUUACUAAGCUUUUAAAAGCUUACUCUAUGUGUGUUUGCAUUGUGUUUUAGAUAUCGAAGGUACUAAAGGCUCGGGGAUCGUCAAGGAUCAUCACCACACUAUCGAACUCUACUUUGGUACCUUUUGAAAGUGUAAAUAUUUAAGUAUGGCAUGUAUAGUCUAGUUAAGUUGAGAUAUGUUUUUGAGUUAUGAAUAUUUAGCCAUGUAAUAAGGCUUGGUUUUGGUUGUGUUUAUGAAUGAAUUUUGAGUAUAAACUAUGUGAUGCAAUAUUUCCAAUAUGAUGUGUUCAUGGGUGGCCAAAAAGAAUUGGUCAAUUUGGUAAGAUUUUGGUAUGUGCUUAUUUGAGGAAUUGGUAAGAUUAUGGCAUGAGAAUGAAUGAAGUAAAUUGAGGUUAUGAAACAUAUGUUUUGGUAUGACUUUGGCUUAUGAUUUGGCAUGAUUUGAUAUGGAUUAUAAGCAUGAAUUAGGUUGAUAAUAAUAUGACAUGAAUGAUGUAUGUUUUAGGAAGGAAAUUGGUUGAAAUUAUGGUGCAAUUGAUGCUUGUAGGGAGGACCCAAAAUGGGUGGCAUAUUGGCCUUAUAAAUGGUCUAUUUUUGCCCACACGGGUAGGGACACAGGCGUGUGUCUCUGCCGUGUUGCUUGAAGGCCAUUUUGAAAUGAGCCUGGGUAGACCACAUGGUCGUACACACGUACGUGUGCCAAGCCGUGUGGCUAAGUCAGUUUCGAGCACAGGCUAGACACACGGGCGUGUGACUGGCUGUGUAACCCAAGUCAGUAGUCUCCCUAAUUUUCACAUGGCCUAGCACACGGGCGUGUAUUGUGGCCUUGUGGACAAGUUAUAUUUCGCCACGACCUAGACACACGGGCACACGGCCUGUUCACACAGGCAUGUGACCUUUGUAACUUAGAAAAAUUGUUAAAUUUCAGAAAAAAAUUUGUAUGUAUUCGAUUUAGUCUCGACCUUUUUCUAAUGCAUGUUUAAGGUUUUCUUGACCUAAGAAAGGGACCUUAUGUUGAUAUUUGACUUUCAUAUGAUAAUGUAUGAUUUUUAAUUGUGAAAUGAUUACGAAAUAUUUUGAUAUGUCCGGUAAUGCCUCUUAACCCUAGUCUGACUAUGGAUACAGGUUAAGGGUGUUACAUGUGUAACUCACUGACUUGGGUCACAUGGCCAAGCCACACGCCUGUGUGCCAGGCCGUGUACCCCUUAAAAUGACCUCAUGUGCCCAUGUACCAGGCUGUGUGUUAGGCCGUGUAACUGUCUGAAUUGAAUGCUUUGAACCUACAAGGGACACACAGUCAUGUUGCUUGGUUGUGUGUGACCAUGUGUCACACACGGCUGAAACACACGCCCAUGUCUCGGGCCAUGUAACCUUAAAAUGAAUCUUAAAACACAAGUUUACCAUUUCAAGUUUGCUUGUACCUUAAAAAACUCAAAUACCAACCAAAAUACUAAUUCAAAAUGACAUUAAUCGAGCCAAAAACACAUCAAACCAACUAAUAAGUGCCUAACCAAUGUACCCUCAUUAGUACCACAAUUAUAUACAAUUUAAUGUCCAAACAUAUCAAUUCAACCUAUCAAUUCAAUCAAGCUAUUGUCUAUCAAUACCAUCUCAAACAUACCAUAUCUUACUACAUAAUAACCCAUUCAUCACGUACUCUUUUAACUAUUCCAACAAAUAUCAUUUAGCCUUGCUAACACAUAUUAAUAAAGCACCAAAAGUACCAAAAAGGAGAUCAACCAAAACAAUUUAUACAACUAAGUUAAUAAUUAACUAUUUACAUAUCCAAAACAUUAGUAACAUCAUUCAAAUGUACUACAUGCCAUAUAAUUUGAAAUAAACGUUCCAAAAACUACCAAAUUUAGCUGGAUAAUGUGACUUGAUACUGAUCCAAUCAUCCAACCUUCUGAGUAUCUACAAGAACAAAGUUUAACAUGAAUAAGCUCAAUAAAGCUUAGUAAGUUCGACAUAUUAGGAUGAUAAAUCUUACCGAAGUAAAUACAACAAAUCAAACAUUAACAGUUCAACCACGAAAGUUCCCUGCCAUCCACAAUCUCAUCCGAUGAAUCACUAUCAAUUAAAUUCUCAAUUGUAUAGUAAACCCAUUAAAAUCAUUACACAAAUUACCUUACCGAGAUUUUCAACUCGAAGAACGGCUUACGAAUAUAAGUACAUCGUCAUCCACACAAAACACACCAGAAACUCACACGAGCCAAUCCCUCCAGCACACCAAUGCUCAGAAGAACUAAUCCAACCAUCACACUAGUGAUCUUAAGAGUUAAUCCAACCAUAACACCAGUGCUUAUAAGAGCUAGUCCAACCAACACACCAAACAAAGAGUAUAACACAAGAGUUCACAACAAAUACUGAACCUCAGGCUACUCGGGAAACAUGAAUGUACGCCACUCCAUAACCAUCUACACUCCAAUCCCCCUUAACACACCAAAUCUUGACCGUACUCUAUCCCGCGUUCAAGCCGAAUCGAACAUCAAUUUCAAUUACACUACUCAAAUAAUCAUUGAAUUUCAACAAAUACAUUUACCUAUUAUGUCAUGAUAUAUAUAAUUUAACAAUUCAUAUAGAUAUUAAAUUUUUGAACCGUACGAACUUACCUAGAUUGAAUUGUAGUCGUUGUAGAAGUUUAGGGACUAUUCUGCUAUUUUUCCUUUUCCACGAGUAUCUACGGGAUUUUGAUAUAAAAUGUAAAAUUCUUCAUUUAUUAGUAUAUAUUUCAUUUCCAAACCAUUUUACAAUUAAUACCCUUUUAUUUUUUCAAAAGUACAUAAUUACCCUGAAUUUUUACUAUUUUUGCAAUUUAGUCUCUAACUCGAAAUUCAUCAAAUUUACUAAUUUUCUCAAGUCAAUAUUUUAUCCAAAUAUACUAGGCCCUUAAACAGUCCAUCUAAAUUCACUAUUAAACCCUAAAAUUUUCACAUUUUCGCAAUUUAAUCUUGAAAUCAAAAUCUAACAAAAAUCACUUUACAAAUUCAUCAAAUAGCAUAAUCAAAGCUCCAAAUACAUGGUAUUCAUCAAGAACAUUCAAUAUUCAUCAAUGGAAACUUCCAAAUUUUUUAACAAAAUAAAAAACGAUGGUACAGGCUAGCUGGACCUAGUUGCAACGAUCUCAAAAACAUAAAAAUUACAAGAAACGGGAUUAGAACGUACUCACAUGCAAACUUCCUAUGCUAGCCGAAACUUCUCCUCACCCUAAUUAUGGAUUUCAACCAUUGAAGAAGAAAAUGAAUAGGAAAACUUUAAAUUUUCAAUUUAUUUUGUUUUAAUAUCAACUAAUUUACAAGUUUCCUAUUAUAAUUUCAUUAUUUUGUCAUUUUCCAUCAAUUUGUUUCCCACUAUAUUAUUUAGGGCUUAAUUAUCACUUAAGUCCUUCCUCAACUAUUAAUUAAACAUUUCAUCACCUAAUUGCUUUAAUUAGCAAGUUUUGCACCUUUUACAAUUUAGUCAUUUUUCUGUAAUUAACUAACUAAACAUUAAUAUUUCUUAAUCAAAUCUUAAUAUGACUCUAAUGACUCUAUAAAUAUUCUAAAAAUAAUAUUUAUGAGUUGAUAUGAUGAAAAUUUGUGGCCCGAAACCACUGUUCCAUCACCACUGAAAAUUGAGCUGUUACACUUAUUAUAUUAUUAUUUUAUUAUUCCAAACUUUUAGUAAUUAUUAAGUAGUUUAAGUUAUUUAGGAGUCUUAUGUUAAUAAGAAAUUUUAGUUUAAAACUACUUAUUUAGAUUAAUUUAUAUUUAAGAGUUUUAUUUAGAUUUAUUUAGCUAGCCUUGCAUUGUACACAAAUCAGACUAUUAAUUAUUAUUCAACUUCUCUUUUGAGUUAAUAAAUUCUUUUUGAGUUUUUCUUUCAAGGGUUUCUCUUGAGUUUUCUUUUAGAAGAGUUUUAAUAAUCUUUUCAAAUUGUGGGGAUUAUUUUCAAACUUCUUCUUACCAAGUUGUCUUUAUUGGAGGGAAAAUUAGAGCUGCUUGAAGGGAGUUGUGGAUUUUUUUGUGUUCCCAAGGCUUCUUAGGACUUCUAGACACUACAUUCUAUCUUUUUUAUCUACCUUCUUUAUUGUCCAAUAUUUAAUUUUAUUAUUUUAUUUUAUUCAUCUAAGUUAUUUAUUUUAAUUAUUUUAUCUAACUUGGAUUCGAUCGUGUUUCAGAUGGUGUCAAAAUUCAAGUUUCUUUCUAAACAUCUAGAGCCCUAAGUCAAAUUCGUGACUUGAACAAACUUUACGAUCUACUUCCGCAUUCAUCCACACUCAUUUUUAUUAUUUGGAAUUAGAGCAGAUACCAAAUUAGAUAAACACAUGAUCUGCUUUGAUACCAAAUGAUACGGAUAAGAGUGGAUGAAUGUGGAAGCAAAUCGUAAAGUUUGCCAAAGUCACGAAUUUGACUUAAGGUUCUAGAUGUUCAAAAAGAAACUUGGAUUCUACCACAACCUGAAAUGCAAACGAAAUCCAAGUCAGAUAAAAAUAAAGAAAAAAAAGUAAAAAUAAAUAACUAAGAUGAAUAAAAUAGUAUAAUGAAAUCUAAUAUUAGAAUUAAUAAAGAAGAAAAAUAAAGAAGAUAGAUGGAAAGAUAGAAUAUGGUAUGUAGAAGUCCUAAGAAGCCUUGAAAACACGAAGCAUCCACAAAUCCCUUCAAGCGACUCUAAUUUCCCCUCCAAGAAAGAAAAUUUAGUAAGAAAAGUUUGAAGAUGAUCCCUACAAUCUGAAAAGAUUGUUAAAACUCUUCUAAAAGAAAACUCGAGAGAAAUUCUUGAAAGAAAAACUCAAAGAGAAUUUAUUAACUCAAAAAAGAAGUUAAUAAUAAUCAAUUGUCUUAUUUAUGUACAAUACAAAGGCCUAUAUUUAGGCUAGGUAAAUAAAUCUAAAUAAAACUCUUAUACUAAAACUCUAAUUAAUCUAAAUAAGAAGUAGUUUUAAACUAAACUUUCUUAUUGGCAUAAAACUCCUAAAUAACUUAAACUACUUAAUAAUUAUUAAAAGUUCAGAAUAAUAAAAUAAUAAGAGAUGAUAAAUACAAUAUUGGGCUCAUAUAUAAUAAAAAUUAAACCCAAAGCUCGAACCCAAUAUUAUUCAAACUCAAAUUAAAAGCCCAAAACUCGUAAUUUCUAUCAUAAUCUCAUCCAGAAAUUCUGCUCACAUAAUCUUCAGUAAAAUAGUCAUAACUUGAUCUUCCAAACUCGAAAUCAAGUGAUUCAAAGUGCAUUUCGAAGCUAAGAGAUAGAUAUUCAAACACCAUGCAUACAUCUCAACCUAGAAAUGUCUAGAUCCUAUCCAAAAAGACGUCGCAAGUCUAUUGAUUUCCUAAACUUGAAAAUUGGUAGCUUCGGCUAAUGGAAUUUAAUAAAUUUCACCCCAUUCAUGCAUGUAUCAAUUAAGAUUAAUUAUGAGUUUGAUGUUGAUUAUGACUAAUGGUAUCAAAUCCGACAAUCUAGUUUACUACCUAGCAACCAAGCUUUGUAAUUGUCAGUGUUGAUGAAACAUAGUGAAAUUCAUUAUUGAAGAGAAAAAAAAAUGGAAUAUAAGCAUUCAAUAUACCUCAAUUAAGCCAUAAUACCUGUGGGUUAGUUGAAGAAUUGUGAGAUGACUCCAUGAAAUAAUAAAACAAAGCUCAGCCAGCCUCUGGAUCAACAAUCACAUAACCUGAAUACUUAUCAAAAUCCACCCAUUCUUGCCAAACUUCCAACAUUAUCAACAUCUUUCAGGCCUUGUUGAGAGCCUAUAUAAAUAGGCAAUUCCCCUGCCAAGUUGAUGCCUCAGAUAAUUCUUGCCUUAAGAUUCAAAAGGAUUCAAGUCUCUACCUUGGUAGCCCUGAGUGAGUCCCACCAGACACUAGAGACACCCAAAAUGAUUCCCAUAGUUUUUCCUAUUGUUAGCUCACUUGACUCACUUUGAAUAAUCGGGGUCCCGAUAAUCGUGUUUAAUUUCAAGGUGAUGGGAAAUUUGUUCAAUCAUAAUUGACUUUAAAUUCUAAACACUGCUAGAAGAUUGCUUUAUUAUGAGAUUAUAUAUUGUUUUGUCUUUGACUUUUAAUCAUAUUAAAGUGUUGUUUAAUGGAAUUUUGGCAUCAUUGUACUGUACAGGGUGAUGUGCAUCACUCAAAUUCAAGCUGAGUCCAACUGUGGUACACUUUAAUCAAAGGCAGAAGGUAGUUUAUAAAUAUAGAGCUUUCAAACUAGCAUCAUCCUAAAAUUUUAAUAAAUUAUAAAAAAGAUUUACUUUCUUGAUUAUGUACGUAAAUGACUUGAAAUGAAUAGUAAAAGUUGGUGGAGCCAAAGAGAUUGGCGCCACUAACAUGCAACAUUAGUAAUUUUGAUUAAAAACUUAUUUUUUUUGUGAAACCAUAGAGAAUGGUGUCACCUAUAUAAAUAACAAGGAAAUACUAGUAUUUCUCAAUAAUUGAGGGGCCAAAAAAUAAAUAAUGGUGAAUGGAGCCACCACUUUAUGUCAUGUUAUUAUUUUUUUAGUUUUUUUAAUUUCUUUUCGUUUUUUUUUAAUUUAAAAAAUAUUAUUUUAUUUGGUGGAGUCAUUCUAAAUGGCACCACCAGUGUAAUCUAUCAUUGUUUUUCUUUUUUCUUUUUAAUUUUUUUAAAUUUAAAAUUAAAAGUGAUAUUUUAUUUGGUGUAAUUUAUCACCUUUUCACUUGGAUUCCCUUUUCCACUUUCGUUUUUUCUUUCUCAUUUUUUCACAAACUUUAUUUUUUGGUCCUAUAUUUCUUAAUUUCUAUUAAAAAUGACCCUUAUCAAAUGAUUAAUUCACAUUACAUAAAUGAUUUACAUGAAAAUUAUUUUACAUUGAUAACAGUUCAAAUAAUUAUCAAUUUACAUAAAUAAAAAAUUUAUUUUACAAAAUAUAAUUUUACAUUUACAACAUUCCAAAAUAAUUUCACUUAACUUACGAUAUGUAAUUUUACAACACGAGCAACUUUCUCAAUAUUAAAAAAAAUUAAACGAUUUUGUUCAAGACCAACAACAUUGUGUCUUACAAAUUGAAAAAUACAAUGUUUAAUUGCAACACGAGUAAGUUUCUUGGUGUUAUUAUCUUGCAGCUUGCAUGUUGUUGAUAUUGAUGAUCUCACCUGUGUGGUUCGAUUUGGGAUUCCGUAAAACCUUCAAAUAUUUCGUUGACCUAAAGAAUCUUAGAUAAUCCACCUGUUGGCUGCAUAAUCAAUUUGAACUUGUUAUCGUCCUACCUCAACCAACGAAAUGACUUGCAUAACCAAUUUGAACUUGUUACUGAAUAUAUAACUGACAAUCAAAAAUAACCAUUAAACAUAAAAGCAUAAAAAAACACUCUUCAUCUCUCUCCCGUUCAUCCUUUAAUAUGAUAUAACUAAAAAAACUCUUCAACUAAGAUUUUUCUGCCAUUGGGCUUAUGUAUAGCUAUUUGACCACACCAAAGAAAAUGGCUCCACCAAAUAAAAUAUUAUUUUUUAUUUUUAAAAAAAUAUAUUAGAAAAAAGAAAAAUAGUGAUAGAUUACACUAGUGGCGCCAUUUAGAAUGGUUCCACCAAAUAAAAUAAUAUUUUUUUAAUUUAAAAAAAACCUAAAAAAACUGACAUAAAGUGGUGGCGUCAUUUAGAAUGACUCCACCAAAUAGAAUAACAUUUUUUAAAAUUUUAAAAAAAACAUAACAUAAAGUGGUGGGGCCAUUUGGAAUGGCUCCACCGCCAUUAAUUAUUUUUUGGACCCCCAAUUAUUGUGAAAUGCCAAUAUUUCCUUGGAAUUUAUAUAGUGGCGUCAUUCACUAUGGCUCCACCAAAAAAUUAAUUUUUUAAUCCCAUAACUAAUGUGGCAUGUUGGUGGCACCAAUCUCUUUGGCUCCACCAGCUUUUACUAUUCAUUUUAGGUUAUUUACGUACAUAAUCAAGAAAGUGAGUCAUUUUCAUAAUUUAUUAAAAAUUUAGGGUCAUUUUAAUUUUAAAAAAAAAACCCUAGCAUCCUCUCCUGCACUAAUUGUGAUAGAUAGGCUUUCAUAAUUUUUUUAUUUUUUUUUAGUUUAACCAAUAAAUUAGUACUUAAAUUAUACUAUUUUUCCCAUUUUAAUAUCUUUUUUUUUCUUUUGUCAAAAGUCGCUUCUAAACUAUAGUAUCAUGUUUUUCUGUGGUGUCAGAAAUGAUGGUUUCAAGACCACAAUUCUGAUAUGAGAGGUCAUUUUUUAUCAUUUACUUAAUAUUUAUGGAGUUAUAUUAGAGUCAUAUUAAAUUUUGGUGUAAUGCCCUGAAUAAUUUAUUUCUGUUUCUGUAAAUCUUAACAUAAAUGUGUAUCUGUUUCAAUGGUUAAGUGUUAUGGGUAUGUGUGUGAGGUCUUGGGUUCAAGUCUCACUUUUGGCAAAUUCUGUUAUUUUUUUUAUCCUAGCCUUAUCCCUGUUGGGUAGGCUUAUGUUAUAUUGUUUGUAAACUUAUAUUAGAAUGAGCCUGUUGGUUUAAGUGGUAAGGAGUUACCUUGCUGAAAGUCUUGUGUUUGAAUCCUCACAUAAGUGUGGGUGUUAGUUUUUUGGCAUCAACUGUUGAUAGUAGUUUGGUGGCAGUGGAAUUCUGAGUUGGUUGAGUUGUUAGUGGAUGUAAUGAGAUUUUGCUUAAAUCCUAUUUAAUUUUAUUUUUUCUCUCUUCCUAAAAGUCUGACGUUAGUUUUCUCUUUUCUCUGCCACAUUCUUCUUCCUCUUUGUUUUCCUGCAAUUUUGUCUAUAGUUUGUUGUCGUAUCAUUAUAUUUCAAAAUUUCAAUGUUCAUCGUGCGAUUCUAGUAAGUGGAGUUUCGUUUGACUGUAGGUUUCAGUUUUUGUAAACUAAUUGAGAUUAUUUUUUAUGUUGGAAUUUCAAUAAUGGGGUAAAGUAGGAGGAAAGUAAUUCUUUGAGAAAGUUUGGCAUAGGAAUAGACGGGGAACUUGUGGUUAGCACUCCAACGGCCUAAAUCGUGAGAGUAGUGGUUUUUAUCCGCGGUAAGUUCGUUUGUGCGAUUCAAUUUUUCGUUGUGGAUUUCACAAAUGGUCUAUUAAUCAGUCAUUGGAAUGUUUUUUUUAGGUUCUAGUGGUCUCGGGAGUGAUUUCGCAUCAAAAUCGAACUAGCUGUGUACUUAAAACACGAGAAAAUAAGGUUUGACGAAAGUAAAAAAUUGGGACUAUCGAUGUCACAUGGGCAUGUGGCUGGUCGUGUGUCUGACACACGGCCGUAUGAUUGUCGAGGGUGUGGUCAUGUGUGAGACACUACAAUGUGCUGUUGAAUGAGGGUGUGGCCCAAAAUUCUAAAAUUUUCCCUAGGGUCGCAUGAGUCGUUCCGAUCGACUGUGGGCCUACCGUAGGAUCUGUAAGGGCUAAUCAAACCUUUUUUCAUGUGACCUGAUAUUCUAAUAGUCUAAUCUGAGUAGGCUAAUCAAACCCUUUUUCAUGUGAUCUGAUAUUCUGAUAAUCUGAUCUGAGUAGGAAACUGAUAUGUAUAACUGACUGUACUAUGUAAAUAUGUAUGUUAUCUGUAUAUGAGCAUGUAAAGCAUGUUAAAUCUUUAUUUCUAUAUAUGUAUUAUGUAUCUGUGUUUGGAGUGGGAUUUGUAUAUGCAAAGAAAGUGAUCUGACAUUUUGCCUAUAUUCUGGUAGCUUGACUGUAUAUUAUCUGUUAUGUGUCGCUUCGAUACUAUAUGGUGUGUAGGGAUGGGUGGGUGUUUUUAACCCCACAUGGAAUGAUGGAAUGGACGGAGAUGGUGUGUAGAGGAUGGGGGUAGGAUUUUGUAUAUCUGUCUGCAUUAUCUAAUUCUAAAAUCUAUAUCUGCUAAGGACUUAGGUUUGUAUUUGUAUCUGUUCUGCAUAUAGGAAUACUGUGUGCAUUAGCAUGUCUAUCUCUAUUGGGUUGCACACUGAGUUUAUGAAAACACACAUCUGUUUGUCUAUUCUGUACAGGUAACCCUCGAACAUAGGCAGGUCGGUGCAACGGAGGCUUAAUGGUGACCACUGUUAAAAUUGCCUUUGAGUUUCUGUAUUUUUAAGAUUUUGGAGUUAUAUGAGAGUUUGUAAUUUUUUGGACUCUCUAGACUAUAUGGUUUUAACUGUUGGUUUUGGUUUUGGUUGUUUUUUAUCAUUCGUUGUUUGUUGAAACGAUUUACGAAAAUGAUGGUUUUACACAAACAUAGGUUUUUCUGGAAACAAGAACUGGGUUUCUGAAAUAUAAUAACUUUUAAGAUUUUCGCUACAAAUUAUGUUUUGGCGAAUGAAUAAACUCACGACAGUUUCGGUAAUAAACAAGUAAAUGAAUAUGUUUUCUAAAAUAUGGACACUUUAUAACAUGUAACUUUUUAAGGUUUUUGUCGAAAUAAAAGCAGUUUCAAACCCAUUCUUCGCAACACUCUCGGAUUCGGCCAUAAUGUCUAGGUUGGGUUUAGGGUGUUAUAUUUGGUGAAGAAAUUUUAAUAUUUAGUUGGUUAAUUUAAUAAAAUGACUAAAUUGUGAAGGACACAAAAUUUAAUAAUUAUUGAAUUGUAUUGACUUGAUAGCUUAAUUAACAAAAGAAAGAUGGCUUAGGAAGUAAUUAGUCCAAAGGGUAUCUAGAUGGAUAGUUAACGACCUUAUAAAUGUUAAAUUAUAAGUUUAUAAUAAGGCUAAAGUUGUAAUUUAAUAAAGAUAAACUAAAGGAUAAUAAAAAAAAUAAAACAUAUCAUCAUCUUCUCAAUAGGAUACCAUCAAAAAUUAAAAGAAAAUUUCACCAUUGAAGAAGUUUGUAGGGUUCAGUCAAAUAUUCCUUGCAUGUAAGUCCAUUUUGAGCUUAUUUCUUGUAACUUUUGUGUUUUUGAUAUCGUUGCAACUAGGUCCAGCUAACCCGUAGCUUUGUUUUUGAAACUGUUAAGAAUUUUGGAUUUCAUCGUUAAUGAAUUAUUGUUGUUCAUGAUGUUAAAUGAUGGAUUUGAAGUAUUGGUUGUUGACUAUAAUUAAUUUGUAAAAUAAUUUUGUUAGUUUUUGGUUAAAGGACUAAAUUGGUUGAAUUUUAAAAUUGAUAGGAAAUUUUUAAGUAUUUAGAAUAAUUGUAGGUUGUAAGUGGAUGGGUGAAAAUUCGGAUAGCAUGAGAAGUUGUAAAAUUUUAUUAAAUUUGGAAUUUCGAGUUUAGGGACUAAAUUGUGAAAGAUGUAAAAGUUUAAGGAAAAUGUGUAUAUAAUGAAAACUUGAGGGUCUCAUGCAUUGAGUUGAGUUUGAAAUGUAUGCGAAUUUAACAAAUUGAAUUUAAUUAUUAUAUAGAUCAAGAAUCUAGUCAAAAAGACAAUAACCGAGGAAAGGGGAAAAUUACAGAAUAGACCUUGUGUUUUAACCAGAAGUGGAUUGUAAGUAAGUUCAUAGUGUUUUGUUAUGUAAAUGUAAAUUUCUUGUGAUUAUGUCAUUGUUUUCUAGUUAGUUGUAUAUAUGUAUGUGAAAUUUCAUUAACUACCUAUAUAAUAUUGAAUAUUACAAAUAAAUACAUAUGAAAAUGAAUAAUUGAUGGUAGCAAUUCUUAUGAUUGCACAUUAUUGACAUGAAUAUAUUGGUUUAUAAUAUGUGUACGGAAAUGAUGAAGUGCCUCUGAAUAAUGAAUAUGUAUAAAAAUAACGAAUUUAUGUAUAAUGCCCGAUUGAACAUAAUAAAUGCUUAGGAUAUAAUUGGCAUGCCAAUAGGGUCAGUAAGUACGCUUGUACGGGAUUGCACUUCGAUGCCUCUGUAUACACUUUGGUGUCUCUGUUUGCACUACGGUGCCUCUGAUUGCACAUUUGUGCCUCUGUCUGCACUUUGGUGCCUCUGUUAUGCAACUAUGAUGCCUCUGGUGUGGUGUAGUUACCUGAGUAUCCGAGUCAAGUUACUUAGCUUAUCGGGCUAUGUAUUCAUUGAAUUACAACUUAUUUAUGUGCUUAAAUGAUAUUGCAUAUUCUUGGUGGUAGUAAGUGAAAAAAGUUUCAAUGAUUUUCAUGUUUACAUGCAUACAUAGCUAAAUUAAGGAAAUGUGGUUUAUGAUAAUGGUAAGUCUUUUAAGAAGGGGUUGUUAUAAUAUAUUUAGAUAUGUGAAUAAAUGUUAAUGUCGUGUAUGAAUUUGUAUUUUGUUAUCAGGAAUUAUGAGUUAUUUACUUGCAUAUCUACUUUGUUUAAGGUAAGUUAAUUAGUGUUUAAACUAUGAACUUACUAAACUUUUUUACCUUACUUGUUUGUUUGUGGUUCUUUUGUAGUUACCAAUUUGUGAACUAACCGGACAGAUCGAUUUAGAGCUCACACUAUUCAGCCAUCUUGGUAGUUUUCAUUUUGGGAUGUGGCAUGUAUAUUGGUGUUUUGUUGUAAAUAUGUAAAUUCCUAAGUUAUUUUGGUACACCUAGUAUUAUGUUUGGUUUUAGAGUGUACUAGUGUUGGCUAUAAUUAAGUUGAUCCUAUGUUAUGUAAAUAUUUGAUGGUGAUGUUUUGAAAUGGUUACUUGUUGAGUAUGUCAUGCCUUGUUCAUAUAGAUUGGUGAUUUUAGACAUGAAUGGUUAGUUAAUGAUCAGGUUUAUUCAUGGUUUUCAACCUUGUAAUUGAGUUGAAUUGGUGUGUGAUUUGUUGUGCCUUUGAAUGGCUUAUUGGUUAGGUAUUAUAGGUUAUUUGAAAUGGUACAUUUUAAGUAUAUUGUUAUGUGGUUUGGUCAUGUUAAGGCUUGUGGAAAUUGGGUGUUUUGAUGUGUAAAAAUUAGGCUUGUUUUAGGGGUGACAUAUGUUGCACAGAGCCUGGGACAAAGGUUGUCACACGGCCGUGUGUCAUUUUAAAGUUAGGUGUGGGAUCCACAUGACCUGGCGCACGGCCUAUGACAUGGCCAUGUGGCCCAAGUUAGUGUCUAACACGGUUUGAGACAUGACCGUAUGUCUCAAAAUAGUUUGUAACAUGGUCUGGCACACAACCUGCGACACAACCGUGUAACCCAACUUUGAAUACAUAGACGGUUUGGCACACGGCCUAUGACACAGUAGUGUGGCCCUAUUUCAAAUAUUCACAUGGGUAGACACAUGGGCUGGGACACAUUCAUGUCUCCUAACUUCAAAUGUUCACACGGUCUGGGCUAUGUCACACGACCAUGUGACUCUUGUUUUCCAAAUUUUCAAGUUUUUCUGAAAUUUUCUAAUUUGUUUCAAUUUGAUCCCAGAUUAUUCUCAAACUAUUUUAAGGGUCCCGUAAGUUCGAUUUAAGACCCAUUGGUGUAUUUUUGACAUGAUUAAUUUAAUUUUUAUAUGUUAGCAUUUUAUUUGUUAAAUUGUUUCUAUUAUGAAUUAAAUGUUCUGUUUUGCUCGAUAACACUCAAUAACCUUAAUUCGACAAUGGAAGCAGAAUACGUAUGUUACAUAAACUCCUUUUUUUCUCAAGUUGGUACCUCCAUUAGUAAAACUGCUAGUCAAGCCAUUAAGUUCAUGAGUCAAUCUAUUCAACCCCUAUCUUCAGACAAAUACUCUACUGAUUGAAUUGAUAUGUAUGCUGACAUUUUUUACUUCGACCUUCACAAUUGUUCAACCCUAUCUCUUGAUAACCCCUCAAAAGCACCCCUUAACUUAACAUAAGCAUGAGUUUGUGAGAGCCCACUUAUUAAUCAUCACUCUUGGUCUCAACUACUACGUCCUAUUUAAAGUGAUUGAAAACACAUUUCAUCGCCACCCUACAUAGACUUAUGGUCAAACCACUUACCCUUAACUCACGUAUGAGGGCAUGACACGUGGUGUCUUGGAAUUGUAGCCUUGACAAAAAAUGGGACUUCAACUCUCUCUCCUCUACUCUUUCUCUUCCACCAUCUUCAUCAUCAUCUAAAACUCGAUAUAAGUACCGUCUUUUUCCAGACACCCAUUACAGUAACUCUCGUCUUUACCCCAUGCGAAGUGAACUACCUAACAAUAUUGCCAUCUCCGUCUUGUCUAAACGCAAUAUAUAAUAUUUUCUUAUAUUCAUAGCUAUCUAAAAUUUUAAAAAUAUAUAAUUAAUCUAUUUUGUAUCAUUUACUAUUUUUUAUUCAUAAAUUAUUAAAUGUCGGCUUAUUGCAAAAUUAAAAACACAAACAAAAUCUAAAAAUUUAUUACUUAAUGAUUUAAUUGUGACAUACUUAUUUUAAUUAAAGUAAUGCACUUUAUUUUAAACAUUUUGUUCAUUUAAAAUUCGAUUAAAUUAAAAAAUUACAUAUUUAAAUAGAGAAAGUAUAUUAUUUUUUAUUUAAAUAAUUCAAUAAAAAUUAUAAAUCUAAAGCUUUAUUAAUUUUAACACAAAUCAAUGCAAUGUAAAAUCUAUUUUUAAAUAUUUAUUACUUUAUUCUUAAAUAAAAUAUUAAAUAUUAUAUAAUAGUUGAGUACGAUGAGGACUCUUGAUGAUAUUAAGUACUCUAAUAAUUAUAUUUUUUUUAAUGAACCAAUAAUUAUAAUUUUUAAUAUAAUAUUUUUAUUAAUUAGUCUGUAAAGGUAUUUUUUUAUAUAAUAUUACGGGUAACGAAUAGAGUAAUACGAUUUAAAUUUGUGCCAGACAAGUAUAUGAGGGUAUUUUGAAAAAGUAUAUAUAAAUAAAUAAAUUAGAAAAAUUAUUUGAUAUAUCGUAGCUUUUUAGACUUUACAAGCGAGUUAAGAGUUUGACAAAUGUAUUAUAGGGUGUAGUAAAAAUAUAAAAAAAUAAUUUCAUAAAUAAAUGUGAUAUUUGUUAUACCCUCAUCUCGAUUGAAGUGUAUAAAAUAUUUUACUGGUGAUGUAUCAAAUAAUUACUCAAAAAAUUAAAUAUUUUAGAAAGUUAUUUUAGACUAUCUGUUUUACUAUGGAGUUCAUAAGAUUAUAUAAAUAGUAGGGUCAGUCUACUAUUUUCCCCCAAAAUUCCACCAAAUUAUUAUUUUGGUACUUAAAUUUUUUUUCAUCAUUUUGUACUUAAAAUUUUCAAUAUGUUAUUAAUUUGCCCGAUUGUUAAUGGAAUUUAAAAAAGGGUGACAUGGCUUGCUGAGAGCACAUUACCUAAAUUUUAUUUUUCAAUAACAAUUUUAAAAAAAGAAAAAAAAUUCAGAAAAAUAACAAAAAAUAAGAAAAUUUUUCAAUUUUUUUAAAAUAAAAAAAUAUAUAAAAAAUCCAAGAUUUAAAAAAUAUUUUUUUUGAAUUAAUCAACUGGAUUAUAAGCGCAAACAUAAAAACAAAUGGAAGUCUUGCUGCUGAGUUAGGUUUUAGUCCAACAUCACAGGCCUAAAGAACAAUUAAAAGAAACAGGCCUACAUCAGAAAUGGCCCGAGAAUUGAAAUGAAAAAUAAUAAAACAAAACAGAAAAGGAAACCUAAUAUAUUUAAAAGCUCCAGUCGACAGUAACAACUGGCCUCCAUAAUUUCUAGCGCUUCACAUCACCGCCACAGCUGUUUCAUUAUAGCAAAUCUUAUGAAAUCUUUUACUUUCUGCUACAUUUUCAAAAAAGAGACGUUUCAUAUAUUUUAUUCUAAUAGUCUUAAGCAUUUUUUCUCCAUGUCUUUCAGUUUGAAAACUAAGACGUUUCUUCUCCUUUUUUUCAUGCUGAGAAACUAAGACGCUUCUUCUUCUUUUCUUUUAUGCUAAAAAUCGAAGGCGCUUCUUCUUCAUUUCACUCCGAACGAAAAUUGGGAUGCCUCCUUCCAGGUGAUGGCCUUCACCCUGUUUUAAUGCUUCUUUUGCAACAAAAUGGGCGCAUAUGUUUUCUAACUUUGGGAUAUAAUGAAAUCUAAGUUCUUGAAAAUGAUUAUUUAUGCUUUGAAUAUAUCGGGUGAUUGCUCUGAUAAUCGAUCUGUCGCAUUCUGUGUUUUGGCACUUUGUUGUUACCAUUCUUGAGUCACCCAAUAUAUCUAGAACAUUAAAACCCAUAGAAAUUCCUAAUCUUGUGGCUUGAUAUCCUGCAUGUGCCUCCGCCGUAAACGGAGAGGGGACACCGGAGUGAAGAACUUACUUGGAUGCCAAGACUUUUCCCCCCAUAUCUCUUACUAUCAGCCUCGACGUAGAUCUAGAAGACUGUUGGUUAAACGCCGUAUCAAAAUAAAUAGCCACAGUUGCUCUCUGGUCAUCUUGUUUAGGUCCCUUGUCUGCUUCCAAGGUUAGAAUUUUAUCCUCUAUUCCUUUUAACUCAGAGAUAUAACUGAGAAUUUGAUUAUAGAUAUCCCAGCUUGUUGUGUUUUUUCUUUUGUAGAUUAACUUGUUUCUGCUUGUCCAGAUUAUCCAAAGUCUGUAACAAAAGAGACAACACUGCUUGACGGUCCCUUGACUAAACACCCAGGUAAGCCAUUCCCUUAUAUUUUGAGCAUUACUGUUGAGUAUCAAUGAAAAAUUUAAAAACCUCCAUAUUUUUGUAACACCCCUUACCCGUGUUCGACGCUGGAAUAAGGUACGAGGCAUUACCGGACUUAGUCAUACACAAACAUGCAAAAACUGGGCUAUAAAAUUUCUUUUAGAUCAAAACUUUAAAUACAUAACGUCUCAUACAAGGGCCUACGAAGCCUUAAACAUGCAUUGAAAGUAGUUAAGGACUAAACCGAGAAUCUUAGAAAAUUUUGGGAAAGCUUAGAAAAAUUUUCCAUGACACAAAGUCACAUGUCCGUGUGGACACAGGGACACGCCCGUGUGCCCAGGACACGCCCGUAUCCUUAGGCCGUGUAACUCUCUAACAAUGACGUCAGCGAAUAAUCUGAACUAUACGGCCAAGCCACACGCCCGUCUGUUAAGGUCGUGUUCCCCCACACGGUUAAGACACACGGUCGUGUCUCAGCCUGUGUGGCCAACACUUAGGCUAUUUUCCAAGCCUUUAUGUUACUCUUAAUCCUUCACAUCUUUAUACCCACCAAGGACACAUGUCAUGAAAUCAUUUUAAUGAUUUAGCAUCCAUAUUAAGACACAUUCAUGACAUUAACAUGUUACCAUUCAUACAUUUCACAUACUCAUAUAAUAUCAAGUCGAGACACAACAAUACCUAUUCAUUAGCCUUGUCAUUUAAUGACCACUUUUACCAAAUUUUCAUAAUCGCCAUCUUAUUUCCAUAUCAAAAAUUUAAUUCAUGGCCAUGACCAUUUCAAUUGGUCAUAGAGCAUUCAUCGUGCACUUAAUUCACAACACCAACCAUAUAUGGCUAACAAGCAUAAUCACAUCAUCACAUCACAAGCAUUAGAACAUAACAUAGAUAGAUAAGUUCACAAACCACAAUCAAUAUGAGCCACUCAUCAUGGCCAUAUAUAAGUAACUCAAUGUAAGCCAAUACCUUUGGCUAAUCAUAAUAAUAGCUAACAUAAAAACUAAGUCCUUAUACAUACCACUCACACGAAAAUUCUAAACAAAUAUGGGUCAAUACUUCGAAGGCAAUGGCCUGAUAGUGUGAUGCUGCUUCUGACGAUCUCCAACCCCAAGCUAACCUGUCACCACUAAAUAAAAGGAAAGGAAGGGAGUAAGCUUUAUAGAUUUGUAAGACCGUAUGAGAAAAAUAAGCAAUUUAUCAACUUUCUUUUCAAGGUAAUACAAUCAUAUUUGCACUUUUAUUUAUGUUGAGGUCAAACUAUUUUCUCGAGUCACAGUUGUUAAAUUAUUUAUAUCUAAAGCUACGAAACUUCAAAUUAAGUUUCGCCAAUUUUUACUUGAAACUAGACUCAUUUAUAUUCUUACGAUAAAAUUUUUAAAAUUUUUUGUCUAGCCAAUUAGUACAGUUUAUUCCUUUAAUUUACCCUUUUUUCGCUGUCUGACAGUUUUGACCCCUCUUCACUAAAAAUUUAUUAUCUCAUGAUACAGGACUCGGAUGACAUUCUUGUCUAUUUCUCUUGAAAAUAGACUCAUUAAAAAUUCGGAGAAUAUAAAUUAUAACCCAUAACUAUUUUUUUUAAAAUUUUCAAUGAUUUUCUCAAAUCAGAAGAGGGGAUUUUGAAAUCAUUUUAACUGUCUCACAACAAUUUAAAUAUUUAAUAGUAUGAAACACCUUUGCUUACACCAUUUCUUCUAUGUGAAACUAGACUCAUUAAGCUUUAAUUUCAUAUUUUAUUCAGUGUCUAAAUCAAUUUCCACAAUUUUUGGUGGAUUUUCAAAUUCGAACUAUUGCUGCUGUCCAAAGCUAUUUUAGUGUAAAUUAAUGAUACUAAGUUUAUCACACCUUAUUAAUUCAUUUUCCCCACAUUGGUAAACAUACAUGUUUAUACAUCAUAAGUAUAGACCUAUAAUCAUAAGGUCAUCACAAAAUCAUUCUCAUAAGCAUGACUUACCUAUUUACAUCCUCACCAAAUAUGCACCGUAAACUGAAAUCAUUUCUCAUGAGCUUGGCAUACAUACCUGUGUUACUUAACAUGCUCACAUUCAUUCCUCACAAUUUUUGGUGGAUUUUCAAAUUCGAACUAUUGCUGCUCUCCAAAGCUGUUUUAGUGUAAAUUAAUGAUACUAAGUUUAUCACACCUUAUUAAUUCAUUUUCCCCACAUUGGUAAACAUACAUGUUUAUACAUCAUAAGUAUAUACCUAUAAUCAUAAGGUCAUCACAAAAUCAUUCUCAUAAGCAUGACUUACCUAUUUACAUCCUCACCAAAUAUGCACCGUAAACUGAAAUCAUUUCUCAUGAGCUUGGCAUACAUACCUGUGUUACUUAACAUGCUCACAUUCAUUCCUCACUAAUGAUACAACAUGAAUUGAGUUCACAUAUCAUCAAGAUCAUGUAAGUACCUGUACCACUCACAACAUAGCCAUUAUCUCUAUCAUUGCAACGUAAACCAUAAAUUUCUUGUUGAACCAUUUAGAACACUACAAGAUAUUCACUAAGCCUCAAACAUAGGGUAAGAUGUCGACGCCAUGUCCCAGACAUGGUCUUACAUUGGCUAGCACAUCAAAUUCGAUGCCAUGUCCCAAACAGGUCUUACACUGACUUUCAUAUAUCGAGGCCGAUGCCGUGUCCCAGACAGGUCUUACACUGGCUCUCAUCUAUCGGUGUCGAUGCCAUAUGCCAGAUAGGUCUUACACUAACACACAAAAAACUAACGCCAUGUCCCAGACAGGUCUUACACUAGCUUGUAUAUCUCGAGGCCGAUGCAUGUCCCAGACAUGUCUUACAUUGGCUCUCAUAAUGUGGCCGAUGCAUGUCCCAGACAUGCCUUACACUAGCACACAUAUCACGCAAUGUCAUGGCAUGAAUAACCAAAUCUAUUCUUAGUGUUCAACCGGGAGUCUUUAUUACAUUAAUCUCUCAACGUGCAUCCUCAUAUUCACUAUCAAAGCAAUUUAUGCAAUAUCAAUUCAAUCACAUAUCAUAACAAUGUAGUUGCAUUAUUAACAUACAACUUACUUGUUUCAAUGGAAUGUCAUAUUCCAUCAACAUAUAAUUAAAUACAAUCAUAACGAAAUAGAUUUCAAGUAAAUUAACAAUAGCAUGGAUAACAUGUUUAUUUAGUCACACAAACUUACCUCAAAUGCAAUUUCGGCUAAUUAUUCUCUUUUAUCCUUCACCACGUACUUUCUCGAUUUAAGCCUGAAUCUCGAUUUUUCUUGAUCUAACAUGAUGAAAUUCACUCAUUUAAUCACUAAAUAAAUUUGGGCAAUCAAAGUUCACAUUUUUGGAAAAAUGACCAUUUUACCCAUAGGCCCAAAAAUUGAUUUUUAUCGAAUUUCCUUAUUAGCCAAGCCUAAUCGACCAUUUAUUACUCUUAUGACAACCCCAAAUUUCCACUAUUUUACACAAUUACAACGUAUUUUAUAACUUUUACAAAAUGGCCCUUUUAGGUGUUUUCCAUGAAAAUCACUUUACAAAAGUUGUUUAUUUCACAACCAUAACUCAUUCUUUCAUAAAAUUUCAGUUAAAAACACAUGCUUUCAUGGAAAAACCCUAGACUCUCAACCAUUUUGCAAAAUAGUCCUUUCAAUAGCUAGAUUAAGCUUUAGGGGUCCCAAAAAUGUGAAAAUCAUCAAGAAAGACCAUCAAAAUUACUUACUUGAAUGAGUGAAGAGUGGCUGCAAAUUUCAAGCUUUCAAAACCCUUAUUUUUCUAGUAUUUUCGGUGGAGAGAAUGAAGGUGAAAAGAUGAUAUCACUUUCUCUUUUUUUUUUUCUAGUCAAAACAAAAUCACCAACUUCACCAACUUUUGACUUUUCGUACUCAUCUUUGUCUCUAUGGCCGGCCUAGCAUUUCUUAAGGGUCCAUUUGCUCUUUAAAUACCUCAAAUUUUGGUUCUCUAGCUAUUUAACAUAUUUAUCUAGCAAAACAAAACUUUUGCCCUUUAUGCGAUUUAGUCAUUUUUCUCAAUUAAGCUAGCAAUCGCUAAAAUUAUUUCACCAAAAUUUUCAUGCACUCAUAUAAUCAUACUAUAACACAUAAAAUAACAUUAAAAAUAAUUUCUCUGGCCCCAGAAUAGUGGUUCCGAAACCACUGUUCUGACUAGGCCCAAAAUCGGACUGUUACAAUUUUUAUUGUUGUAGGGCACUACAGAAGAACAUGAUUGUUGCUUCUUUAUUCUGGUGACACCUAGGACACUGAUCUUCAACAGCCACUCUUUUCAGCUUGAGAUUUGAAAAAUUAGUAAUAUAGUUAUUUUCCAUACUAUAAUUUUCACUUUCGAAGGAAUGUUUAGAUUCCACAGCUUUUUGUAAAAAGCUUUAGUAUCGACCAGUAUAAAAUUACUAGGAUUUAGAGUAGUUUCUUGUAAUAGCUUAUAGGCGCUCCUCACAGAAAAAUUCCCAGAUGGUUUUCCUCUCCAAACUUGGAAAUCAUUAUGGACUGACCUCGCCAAAGGGAUCUGCAUAAUCUUUUUAGCAAUAUCUAGCUAGAAGGUAUUGACAAUUAAUUCAGUCUUCCACUCUCUAUUUUCAUCAUCAAUUAAGUCCGACACUAACUCUAUAUUUUCAUUUCUGCUUUGAUUCUGAAUCUUAUCUUCUUCAUUACUCGACACCCAAAGGUCUGUCCAAACUGAGAUGCGAUCCACCUUACCAACCCUCCAACAUAAACCUUUCUCCAGAAUUCUUUUGGCUGACCAGACACUCUUUCAAAUAAGUAAGGGUAAGUUUCCUAAAGAAGCAUUUAAAAAAUUCGAAUUUUGAUAAUACUUAGCUUUCAAAACUCGGGCUAACGAAGAAUUGGGAUAAUUAAUAAAAUGUCAACCCUGUUUAGUUAAUAGUGCGAUAUUAAAUAUAUCAAUUUUUCGAAAACCAAGGCCUCUAACUUCUUUUAACGAACAAAUAUCAUUAUGCACACCAAUGUAUACCCAUUUUUCCUCUAUGUUUUUACCACCAAAAUCUCUCAAUUAUACCCUCCAAAUUGGCACAUAAAGACUUAGGAAGUAAAAAUCAAGCCAUUGAAUAAGUUGGAAUAGAUUGAAGAACAGCUUUAAUAAAACCCUCCUUACCCCCUUGAGAAAAGUACUUGAUACUCUAAUUAUCAAUUCUUUGCUGUAGUCUAUCCUUCAAGUUCUGAAAAGCUACUUUCUUUUUUUUACCCACCAAAUUAGGUAAACCUUGAUACUGUUCCAGAUCAUUUGUGCUAUGUAUUCCGAGCACUUUAAUUGUUAUUUUUUUAACCUCCUCCUGCGUAUUAGUGCUGAAAAAAAGUAGACAUUGAAUAGCUAAUACUUUGACCAGAACAGAUUUCAUAUUCAUGUAGAAUUUGCUUUAAUGAACUUGCACCUCUUUCAGUAGCUUCCCCAAGCAAAAUGCAGUCAUCUGCAAAAAAGUAGUUGUGAAAUAUGUGGACCACUUCUGCUUGCUUUGACUCAUCUAAUUGUUUUUUCUUGAAUUUCUAGCCUCAUAAGACUAGAUAGACCUUCUCCACAAAAUAAAAAUAAAAAUGGGCUCAAAGGAUCUCCCUGUCUUAAUCCUUUAAAAGGAAAGAAAGUUUCUCCAAUAUAACCAUUCAAGAUCACCGAAUACGAUAUUGUUUUAAUGCAUUUCAUUAGUGAAGCAACAUUCCAAGUCAAAUCCCAAUUUCUUCAUUAUUUCUUCUACGAAAUUCCACUCAACUCUGUCGUACACUUUGCCCAUAUCCAAUUUCACCGCCAUAAAUCCUUUUUUCCCUGACCUCUUUUGUUUUAAAGUAUGUAGGAGUUCAUAGGCUAGCAAAACAUUAUCAAAAAUCAGUCUUCUGGGUGCAAAAGCACUUUUUGUUAAAUCAAUGCACUUAUCUAUUACAAUUCAGAGACGAUUAGCAAUAACUUUAGCCAUCAAUUUAUAAAGCACAUUGCACAAGCUGAUCGGCCUAAAUUGAGUUAUAUUCGAAGGAUUUGAAAUUUUCAAACUUAACACAAUAUUAGUUUUGUUGAUUGAGCUAAUAUCCAUACCUCCAUUUAGUUGAUGAAGACAAAAUUAUGUAACAUCUUCCCAUAUAAUUGGCCAACACUUCUGGUAGAAUAACAUUGGUAAACCAUCCUCUCCUGGUGCUUCUGUAGGGCCUAAUUCUGCUAAUGCCUUCUAGAUCUCUUCCUUCAUGUAGCUCCCAUUAAGUUUUGAAUUAUCCUCAUAAAUAUACAAUGAUUAAUUCCUAAUAAAAUGUGAUCAUAAUUUCCCUUUCUUCCAGCGGAGAACAAGUGUUGGAAGUACGAUCUGGCUAUUUCUCCCAUUUUUUCGAUUUCAUUCAUUUCCCUCCAUCAUCAAAUUGCAUUUUACGAAUAAAAUCCCUCUGUCGUUUCUAUGUUGCUUGCGAAUUUCAUCCAAUUAACUCGUGCCCGUUGUUCCCAGUAACGCUCAUCUUUUUCAAUCUCAAAAUUGAGUUGAAUUUUUGUAUCAAUGAGAUCCGCCAAAGUUUCAUCAUUUCUCUCAACUUUCAGCAAUUUAACCAGUUUUAAAGUUAACUCCUCUUUCUUCUCUUUUAUGCUAUAUCGAAACUGAUUAGCCCAUCUCUUCAAACCUCUCUUAAAAAUUUCUAACUUAUUCAAUAAAUCUCCUUCAGAAUUUUCUCAGAUGUUUCUAACCUCCAUAAUAAACAACUCUUCUAGAACUCACUAUGCUUCAAAUUUGAAACUUCUAUGAAUUUGCUUCUGAACAUCCUUUUUUUUAAUAAUGAAUAAUGGACAAUGAUCUGAAAACGAAUGAGGAAGAUGCUGUAGUUGAAACUCAGGAAAUAGAAAGAACCAAACAACAGUUGCGACUCCUCUAUGUAAGCGCCCUUGAAUAUUUGUUUCUGGCAAAUUCCCCCUUUCCCAAGUAAACCAAUUUCCAGUAAAUCCCAUAUCCAUCAGAUUGCAUUCCUCCAACACCUUACAAAAAGCUUCCAUUCACCUCUCCUCUCGUAGUAAAGCUCUUUUUUUUUUGAAGCCAUACAAGAUUUUAUUAAAGUUUCCAUAAACCAUCCAUGGAAGCUCCCCAACAUUCCCUAAUUGUCUUAAAAGAUUCCAUGCUUCAUAUCUCUCUUGGGAAUAAGGAGACCCAUAAAAACCAGUAAACCUCAAUUUGUUUCUUUCAUCCACAUAUUCUAUUAUCACAUCAAUAUGUCAUUUCGAAAAACUUUGAAGCAUUACAUUAUUAUCACCACGCCAAGCCAAACAUAAUCCACCUCUAGAUCUAUUUGAAUCAACAUCGAUGCCAUUGAAAAAACCAUAACUUCUUCGAACACGUUCCAUCUGACUCCUACUAAUUUUUGUCUCUAUAAAGAAGACCAUUUGGGGAUUAUAUGACUUCAACAAGUGCCAAAGUCUACAACUGACCGUGGAUUCCCUAAAUCACGGACAUUCCAAUUUAAGAUUUUCAUUACACCCGGCCGGCUUGCCUCUUGGCAGCCGCCGAUGAUAAAUGAUUAAUUUCCCCUAUUCUCCUAUUCCUUACCGCCAAAGUAUUAAUCUCUUCAUUGGCUGGUAAAUCUUCAAUCUCCCCCCGCUUCUCUUUUUGCCCUCCUCUCCAAUUAACACAUCAUCUUCUAGAUCAUGUUCUAUUGAGGCAUGAAAUGACCCACAUAUGAAUUUUCGCCCUUUCUAAGUUAAUCCCCGAUAUUGGAUCUAUAUUAUUCCUGUUCCCCAUAAUUUUUCCUAAACCCCACAAGCUAUUUCCUAAUAUUUGACUUCCCUCCCAAUUACCACCCUAUUCUCCCUCUCCUUCUUCCUGGAGCCAAACGCUAUUCAUUGCUAAAGCCUUACGAAAUUGUGCUCUUAAUGAUAAAUCCUAUCCCAUUUCAGCAACUUCCACUCCUAAAGCAUUUUCGCUUCACAAAAGGAGUCAUUAUGGCCCAAACGACCACAAUAAAAACAGAAUAGUGAUAAUCGUCCAUAUUUAAAUCUAACAUGAACACUUCCCAAAAAACAUAAUAUGUUUCUUCCUCUUCAAGGGACGCCGUAUAUCAAUUUGGGCUCUUAUUAUCAUAAAAUUUAUAUUUUCUUUUCCCAAAUUUGAGCCAUCAUACUCCAUGAAAGUACCUAUAAAAUUACCUAGUUGCAUCGCCAAAUUUUCAGAGAAAAAAUGAACUGGGAUGUCAUGAAUCUGUACUAAAAAAGGUGUAUAAAUUAAUGGGAUUUUUUAUGGAUCCUCCCCCUAUUGUAACUUAUGUAGCACCAAUCAAUGAUUAUUAAAAGUCUAUGGUGAACCCUUUAAGACCCUCUCCAUAUCCCUAACAUGAGAAAAAUUGAAACAAAUACAUUUUCUUCCUCAGAUCUCAAAUUUGAAGCCCCCGAACAAGAUGCCAUAGAUUUGCCAUGGUACUUUUCAUUGCUGGAAAAUGAAUGAUACUAGCUGUUAGGAAACAACCUACUAGUCGAAAAGCCCCCACCUCUCUUUUCGAAUUUAGGUCGCUUUGUACUUGUAGAACUGCAUCUUCCUCCUCGUUAAUCGUAAGUCCAGCAAAUUCCGCUUCCAUAACAAUGUUUAGAACUCAAUCGUAUGAUUCAACUGAUCAAAAGAGUGAAAGAAAUUUUAAAGAUCUUUCCGCCUUCGACCAAACAAAAGACUAAAAAACAAAAAACCUAAAACUAUUAGAGAAAGCAGACAGAGACGUGCUAGGGUAGCAGACUAUAUUUAUUUUAUUUUUUAAAAAUAAAUAAAACACAAAAAAAUAUAAAAAAUUGUCAAACAAAUUCAAAAAAAAUCUCAAAAAAUUAAAAAAUAUAAAAAAAUGGUAAGUUGCAUAAAAUUUCUAGAAAUUAAAAAAUAUAUAUGUUUACAAAAACUAAAGUUAAAAAAGUCCAUAAAAAAGUGUCAAAAAAUAGAAAAAUAUUUAAAAAUCAGAAAGAAAAUAUGUAAACUUUAAAACAUUGAAAACAAUUUUUUUUCACUUUGUCCAAUAGUAUACCUGUUCAUGGGCUGGACCAGGCCGGGUCUUGUCAAAAUUUUAGGCCCAAAUCAGGCCCGAAAAAUGGAUUUAAAAUUUUGUCCAAGCCUGCUUCGACUAAAUUAAAUUUUUUAUUAAAAAAUUAAAAAUAUAAUACAUUAAAAAUACUAAAAACACUAAAAUAAAUGUUUCCCAAUAAAUUGAAAAUAAAUUUUAAAAAUAUUUAUACUUAAAUAACACUAAGAUAUGUGUAACUUAACAAGAAAAUGUCCCUAAAAUAGUAACAAAAUUAAAAAUAAAACAAGAGUUAUACAAUAUUCAAAUAAUAACAACAAAAUAAUAGUAAUAUAAUAAUGAAAUUGCAGUAAAACAACAAGAAAAUAGUAAAAAAAAUAAGAAAACAUUAGUUCCUUUUUCUUUUUUGUAAAUUUGGGUUGGAUCAAGCCUAGGACAAAAAAAUUUACCCAAGGCUCAACCCGUUUUCUAAACAGGCCUCUUUUUUUUUGUCCAAACCCAUUUUUCAGGCCUAUAUUUUUUUCUAAACCCUCUCACUUUUUAGACAGGGAGACUUGGCCCAUGGAUAAGUCUAGCCCAUAGUAUAAUAUAUUUUUAAAUAUUUUGAAUCCAAUAAUCGAAUUUAAAAUUAUCAAUAUAACACAAAACAAAACAACCAAUAUCACACUUUUUAAAAUUUUAUAUUUUCAUUCCAUAUUUUAAAGCUUUUCAUAUUUUUCUGAUUUAAAAAAAAAAGAAGAGUUUUAUGAAUUCUUUUGAUAAUUUUUAUAAUUUGGCUCUUUUUUAUCUUUAUGUAUUUUUUAAACGGAAUUUUUUUAAAUUUCUGGAAAUUUUAUAUAACUUUAAUUUUAUUUUCUGAUUUGUUAAUAUUUUUUGAGAUUUUUCUAAAUUUGUUAGAAAUUUUUUGUAUUCAUCUCUUUUUUUGUGUUUUAUGUAUUUUUUAAAAAAUAAAAAUAAAUAUUUUUUAAAUAUUGGGAUUUUUAUAUAAUUAAAUAUAUACCUUUUUGUUUUUAAAAAAACUUUUGAGAAUUUUUUUGAUUUUACUUUUUUAAAUUUAUUUCUAAAAAAUAAAGUAUAGGUGACUUGGUGCGCUCUCAACGUGUCACGUCACUAGGGGCAAAGCCAAAAAAAUUUUUAGGGAGGGGCUAAAGUUAAAUUGUAAUUUCGCCAUUUGAAUAACCUGUAUUUUUAUAAUUUUUAGAAGAUUAAAUCAAAUUUGUAUUAUUUUUAGGGGUCAAACCGUAAUUUUACCUUUAUUAGUUUAAAAUUUUAAAAAUUUUAAAGGGCUUAAAUAUAAAAUUUUUCAUUUUAGAGGAGCCGGACCCUGCAGCCCCAGAUACACCCCCUACAAGUCACUUUUUUUUUUAACACCAUUAACGGCCAGGGAAAACUGAUAAUGGAUUGGAAUAGAUAAAAAAAAUUAUUUAGGUACCAAAGUGAUAAAUGGGUUCAAAUUUGGGGCAAAUGGUAUAUUAACCCUAGAUGAUAUAUAUAUAAAAGAAGAAGCACGUUGAUUCAUGAUGACACAGAGAAGAGUGCUAUUCAUAAUGGAGUUUGUGUGCAGUUCUAUCUGUACCUUGCAUCUAAGAUGUCCACGUUUGCAUUAUGCAAACAUCCGUUUUGCUCCUCCUCUUUCACUUCACCUUUCAUUUUCUUUCUAUUGUUUUAAAUAAAAAUGAUCUUCCAAAGAAGACACUGCUGCAAACCUAGAAACCUUAUUCCUUGUUCAUGUUAUAAUUGGUAUUGGUAUGUUGAUUCCUUCUUCCUAUUGUAAAAUUUUUAUCAUUUAGUCUCUACUUGAUCGGGAGGGAGCAUUGAAGUAUGUCGGUUUUCUAAUGGAAAGUUCUAACUUUUUCUUUUUGUUAAAAGGUCUGAAUGACUCAAUCUGUCACCCUCUGCUCUUUUGGACUUCUUUGUUUUGCAUUCAACUUAUUACUGUUGUUGUUUUCUGAUAUUUGUUGAAGUUUUUGAAUUAGGGUUUUGCAGAAUUGGUAGUGGGGGUAUUAAAAAGAUAAAUACCAGAGCCAGAAGGAAAAGUCCCAUUGAAGCAAGAAGAAGUAAAUUACUAAUCAUAGUUAACAUGCAAGAACAUUGACAGGGCAUUUUGCAUACCUCUGGGAGCUUUACCUCGUCUACCACCGUAUCUUCCUGCUCCUGUUAGUAGUUUACCAUGCCAUUGGCUCCGUCUGAUCGAAUAGCUCUUUUUGACACGUUUCAAACUGGAAUUCUAAUAUUGGUUUCUGGUUUUGUAGACGUUGAAGCUUUUAGCUAAAGUUGCAGUACUCAAAGAGGAGGUCGUUUGGCUCGAAGAGCAGGUCAUACACUUUAGGCAGGACUUGUAUCGAGAAGUUGUCUGUAAAUCAUUGUUGAAAUGGAAAAUGGAGAAUUCAGCUGAUUGAGAGAGCCUUGUCUGGAUAAUAGUACUAAAUCUCAGCUAUCUACAACGUCAACUCGAAAUACAUGAAUGGCAAGGCAUUCGAGAUCGUUUUCGGGUAAGCCCUUUUGUGGUUUUUAAUUCCUCAUCUUAUGGCAUUAUCAUUUGAUGCAUAUUGGUAUCGAAGUAGGCCGUCUUUCAAGGAAAGCUAGUAGUACCUACUGCAGGCUAAUAUACCAAAGGCUAUCUCAUGUGGCCCAUAGGAGGCCUUAGUUUUCUGAAUCAAUUUUGUCAUUUAAUCAAUGAGCGGCAUGUUAAGGAGCCGUUGCGUAGGCUAGCUCCUGCUCUAUCAUCUGGUUAUGACCUGUUUGGACGCCAUUGAAUAGCAAAUACUAAUUGAAGUUUUGAAUUAAAUUCGAGCAGUCCAAUAUCAGUCCUUCACAUUUAUCCACCACGGCUUGGUAAUACAUCAGCAUUUAGUGAUGCAACAUUCAAACCCAACUAUUCUUAUUCUUCUCUGCCCAAAAGAAGUAUAUAUAUACUAUAGGUUGAAAUACACCAUAAGUCCUAUGCCCUUAACAAAUUUAGAAUUUAGUUUUUAUUUUAUUUUUAGGAUUUUAGUCUCUCUACUUUUCAGAUUUCAAAAUGCAAGGCCAAUUAUUAAUGUCGUAACCAUUUUUUGAAAAACGGGAAUCGAUUUGGAUUUUGAAAAUGAACACAAAAGACGGGAGUCGCCACCGAUCCUUUUUGACUAGGUGUGAUCGGGUCACCUCGUUAAAGUGGUUGUUUUUAAUAAAUAACUUGAUUUAUUUAAACAACAAUUUUGGUCUACGCAAAUCAAGAAAAUAGGUUCGGGAGUCGGUUACGCACGAGGAAGGAUUAGCACCCUCGAUACGCCCAAAAUUGGUACCUAGUUGAUUAAUUAGUGUCUUAGUGUCGAAGAAUGAAAACUUGGAAGACUUUUGAAAUACGAUCCCUCUUUAUAAAGAAAAUGCUUAAAUAUUAAAGAUCUUCUCGUCUCAAAUAUGAAAUGUCAUAUCCAGUGAGUUAGGACACAUCUUGAAUUUUCGAGAGCGAGCUUGCCUUUUGUAAAAUCUGUGUAUUUUAAAGGGUAUUCGAUUAUUUAGAGUGAACGAGAGAAAUCGAAACCCAGUAAGUUAGGGCACGUUUUCUCGAAUUUUCAAACACCGAAUAUUGCCUUUAUUCCAAAACAAAUUCUUAUUUCGAGAUGACAAAAUGUCAUACCCAGUAAGUUAGGGCACAACACUUCGCAUCUUCGAGAAUAAGUAUUUUCAAAACUCGUAUAAUGAUUUAAAAAGAAUAUAUUCCGUUAUUUAGGUUAAAUGAGAAAAGUCGAAACCCAGUAAGUUAGGGCACGAUUAUCUCGAAUUACCUAAUACAGGAUAUUGCUUUUAUGAAAGAAUUGUUUGAAUAUAUUGAGUGACAAAAUAUAACGUGAUUUAUAAAAGUAAAUUUUGGUAUUAAUAAUAAUGUAUAAUAAUGAGCGUGACGAUAUCAAAAUAAUAAUGUGAGCAAUUACAUAAAAAUGAAAUAAUAGCAAGCCUAGUAAUGUGUAAAUAUAGACAAACGCAUGAGGAAAAUAAAACCAUCGAAUAAAAAUGCAUAUAACAUGACAAAAGAAAAAUGGCAAUGAUGACGAAAACAAUAAUAAUAGCAAUAGUAUAAAACGAUAAUAAUACGUAUGGUAUUGAAAUUUAUAUAAUAAUGGAAACAAAACAAACAAAACAAACAAAAAAAUAUAUGAUAUAUUAAAAAUAUACGGGAUAUAUAUAUGAAAUGAGUACAUAAUAGUCAUAAAAAUAUACAUAAUAGAGUGUACAAACAAUAUGAUAUUUACAAUGUAUAUGUACAUAAUAUAUAUGAUAUGUAUAAUAUUAAUAUACAUGUGCAUAAUAUGGAGUAUUAUAUAUAUUAGAAGGAUGUAUGUAUGAUAUACAAAUGCAUUAACAAAACAAUAAUACCAAAAAUUAAUAAUAAUAUAUAAAUGUAGACGUAUAUGUAUAGGUUAAAAAUAUAUACACAUAUAAUAAUACAUACACUAACAUUAUUAUUAAAUAUAAUGGGGGCAAAAAUAGAUAUAACAUAUACGCGUAUAGUAUGGUAUUUAAAUGCGUAUACAUGAAAUAUAUAUUGGGAAUAAUAAUAUAUAAACAUAUAAAAUAUAUAUAAGUGUUAAAUGGAAAGUAAAAAGAUUACUAAAUAAUAGUAUAAACAUGAUAAUAAUAACAAUGAGAAUAAUAAAUAAAAUGAUAAAUAAUAUUUAGAAAAUAAAAAAAGGGCAAAAAUAAUAUAAAAAACGUAUUAAAUAUGAAAAAGGGACUGAAUUCGAAACAAAAUGAAGAUUCGGGGCCGAUUAAAAAAUAAUAAAGGAGAAAUGGACUAAUUUGAAAACGCGCGCGACUGCGGAGGGCCAAAAGGGAAAUUUUCCCGAGCCCUUAAAAUGCAUCACUGAAGGGAGGGCCAAAUCGCAAUAUGCGACAAACUUCUGGGUUAAUUUAAAAUAAAUAAGAACUUGAUUGAAAAAUGUUCAAAAAGCAGAAGGACUGCGCAAGCAAUUAGACCAUGCUUGCAAAAACACGCGGAUCCUUCGGGCAGACGGGUCGGGUCGUGGAUCGGGUCGCUAAACGACGUCGUUUUGGGUGCUGAAUGCACGCCCCAAAACGACGUCGUACCGGGAGCCUUUAAAAGUCAAGUUUUUUUUAAAACUUCAUUUUUCAUUCCUUUCAGCAAAAAAAAGGGCUGAAAACCUCUCUCCCUCUCUCCCUUCUCUACAGCGAGCCUAGAAACCGGCGAAGAGCCGACCGUCCGCCGCCGUGUCAUCUGCCGUGCCGGCCACCGUACGCGGUGGCUGGAAAUCACUCCAGGUAUGAUUUUUUUUAUGUUUUUUUUACUGUAUUUUAGUGCUUAUGAAUAUGUAUGUAUAUAAUAUUUUUAGUGUAAAUCAAACGAAAAAAAUAUUUAGAAAAUAUAUCCGAAAGAGAAUAGUUAAACCUUGCCUUGCGCUUCUUUGAACUCCGUUCGAUUUUUCGUUGCGACUUUAUGCCUAUGUUUUCGAUCUGUUUUUGUUUUUUGGUCUAAUGUUGCUUAUUAUUUUUACUGAAAAAUGCCCGAGUGACUACAUGGUUUUUGGAUUUGGCUUUUAAAUAGCCAUUACAUUUCUUUGUUUUGCUUUAUGUCACUUCCCGUUUAAUGCUUGCAGGAGCGCAACUUGGACGACGGUGGGGCGGUGCUGCAGGCGUCGGUGGAUGGGACAGGGGUCAGAGGCUGAACGGCUAGGGUUUUAGAUUUUCUUUCAUUUUUCUUUUUCUAUUUUGUGUUUGGGCCAUGUGGGUUUAGUGGGUUUUGGGUAGGUUAUUUGUGUUGGGUUUGGGAUUCUGUUAGGUUUAGUGGGUUGUUUAGUGGGUAUUUAGGGGUUAGUGGGUUUUAUUUGGGCUCCAAAAUUGGGCUGUACAGUUGCCCCUCUUUGCUUGUUGUCGUGUAACGAGAACAAAGCAAAGACUUAAGAAAGACCAAUUUUGCCCGGUCGCUGAGUCUUGACUUCUUUGGUGCUCUUAUUCUUUAGGUAGCUUCAUUCCAGUCUACUGCGACUCGUCACUUUACUCCGCUCCAUUGCAACUUCGGAGAAACAAGACUUGUGAUUUGUAGUCUCAAUCUGUUCCUUCGCAACUUCAAGGAGAUAAGAUUCGCUAGCUUUAGUCUGCUCCACUGCAGUUUCAAGGAGGUGAGACAUGUGACUUCAAUCUACUCCGUUGAAACUUCGAGGAGAUCUGUUGUGGCUUCUAACCUCUCCAGUGCCAUUUCAAGGAGAAGAGAUUUGUAAUUUCUAGCCUGUUACCCUACGGUUUAGGGGGUUAAGGCUCACCAUUUUUUAUCUGCUCCACUACUGCUUAGGGAGGUAAGAUCUAUAAAUUCAGCCUGUUACCUUCUGCUUAGGGGUUUAAGGUUCUUUUACCUUCGAUCUGUUUGUCUGCUACUGAGGGAGAUAAGAUCUGCAAUUCUGUCUGUUACCCUACUCCUUAGGGGUUUAAGACCUAUCGCAUUCGAUCUGUUUCCCCAUUGCUUAGGGUGAUAAGAUCUUCAAAAUUCAGCUUGUUACCCUACUGCUUAGGGGUUAAAGCUCGACCUGUUUCCCUACUGCUUAGGGGUUUAGAUCUGUAAAUUCAACCUGUUACCCUACUGCUUAGGGGUUUAAGGUUUGAAAAUUUGGCUUGUUACCCUAUUGCUUAGGGGGUUGAAGCCCAUCACUUUUGAUCUGUUUCCCUAUUGCUUAGGGGGUAAGAUCUGUAAAUCUUCAGUCUACUCCACUGCGACUUCAGGGAGAUGAGACUUGCUGGAUUCGAUCUGUUCCACUGCAACUUCAGGGAGACAAGAUCCGUAAUUUUUAGCCUAUUACCCUACUGCUUAGGGGGGCUAAGGUCUGUAAAUUUAACCUGUUACCCUACUGCUUAGGGGUUUAAGGUUUGUGAAUUCACUGAUUCUAGGGACAUGACCUGUAGAAUCAGCUCCAUAUAUUUAUGCUUAUGCCAAAGAAUUAGGAUGCUAUGAUUAAAGUGAAUCAAAUGCUCCUAAUUAGAUACAUUAUGAAUGAUCUAUGAAUGUAUGAAUGCAGCAUGUUGUGAGCGUGAAUCCUUGUUUAGGCUGCCAU